RNAcentral lists this long non-coding RNA (53579 nucleotides) under Ananas comosus (pineapple). RNAcentral describes it as "long non-coding RNA (ACOM_LNC012579)". Lineage: Eukaryota; Viridiplantae; Streptophyta; Magnoliopsida; Poales; Bromeliaceae. The record is from RNAcentral.
UACGUUUAUCUAUCUGAACAGUAUUAUGCAGAUCCUAUUGAAGCAUCUUCUUGUUCCUUUUCUAUGCGCGAUCGUCGGGAACCAUUUUGACGUUUAUCAAAAGUAUAAAUACAUAUAAAUAGAUGAAUUAAAGGUAACAAUUAUGUAGUAGAAAAGGCAAAGAAUAGAAAACUGACAUUUCUCAAAAGAACUAUAAUAUUACUCACCAGUCGGCAGUCAUUCCAUCCUCACUAGUAAUCGCUCGAAGAACCACCACAUGAGAAUGAGUUCGUUGGUCGCCCUGAACUCCAACUGACUGCACCGGCAAAAACACAGCAAAGGCUUGCCAUAUUGAAUCAUAAAGGCCAGCAUCUCUAAUUGACUGAAUAAAUAUCUCGUCCACCUGAGGAAAUCAAAUUGAAAAAUUUAAACGUCGAAUUGCUGCAAUAGACGACUUUGUACUUCUGAUGUGUAAUAUCACCUGUCGAAGAAUCUCUAGGGCAUUUCCUUCCGUAACAUCACCCAAAACACGAACAGCAAGGCCAGGUCCAGGGAAUGGAUGUCUCUUCAAAAAUGAGUCGGGUACAUUUAAUAUGCUUCCCAGUGUCCGUACCUUACAAAGAAAUAAAAAUACAGAGUAUAGCAGUUUUUGAAUUUCCAAAGAGCUAACAUGGAAAAAAAAAUUCACAUUAUGUUAGUUCACUCGUGCGAACUUUUUAGACUAAACAUGAUAAAAGUUGUGUGGAAAUAGACGGACAAACCUCAUCUUUAAAAAGGAGUUUAAGGGGCUCGAUAAGCUUCAGCUUCAUAUCUUUUGGAAGGCCUCCUACAUUGUGAUGACUUUUGAUUGUGUGAGAGUGGGUCCUCCCGCUCCCAGGGGGUGGACACGACUCUAUCACAUCUGGAUAUAAAGUUCCUUGAACCAAGAAUGUAGGUCUUUUCCCUAGUUUCUGCUCUAACUCGUGAGCAAAAUCAUCAAAAAUCGCAAUGAAUUCUCUACCAAUUAUCUUUCUUUUCAUCUCCGGGUCUUUGACACCUUUUAGCUUACUGAGGAACUGCUCAGAUGCAUCAAUACAAGUAACGGGCAGAUGUAAGUCUCUCUCAAAGGUUGACAUCACCCGCUCUCUCUCCUUAUACCUAUGAAACAGAAAACACCUUAUUAGAUCAAAUCUGUGAUGAACACUCUUCUAUCGAUAAAGUAGUAAAAACUGAGUUACCUUAACAAACCAUUGUCAACAAAAACACAGUGCAGCCUAUCUCCAAUUGCCUUGUGAAUGAGAGUCGCUGCAACAGUUGAAUCCACUCCGCCAGAUAACGCACAAAUGACAUGCUCGUCGGAUCCUACCAUCCCAUUUAUGACUCUGAUCUCUUCCUCGAGUACGUCUUGCAUCUUCCAGUCAGCAGUUACCCCACAAACAUCAAAAAGAAAAUGCUGCAGUGUUUCCAUUCCUUGUGUCGAAUGAGUAACCUACAACGAUUCGAAGAAACGAACAUCAUAAUGAGGCAUCAAAAGUAUUGCCACACUUAGGCAUCCGAAAAAUAACAUAAUGCUGGCCCAUGGAAAUUCUCCAUAAAUCACCGACUUCCACCAAGAAUUUUGAGACCAAUAAGUUUCACUUGGGGAUAAGUAGCACAAUAUAUCGAUUUCACACACAAAAAUGCUGUCGAAACAUUGAAGGAGCAACCAAAAAGAGAUAUCUUGUCGGACUCGAGAAACUAAACAACAAAAAAGAUAUCUUGAUGGGUUGUUGUAGAUCCAAGAGUGAAAAAAACUUAGAAGUAUGUGGAUAGUGCUACACUUCUACAAGUAUUCUAGCUCAACUCCAGAUAUAUAAGAAGCCAUAAAUUUAUGAACAUUUAAGUAUGUUACAUCAAACUAUACUAGAAGCGAAAAUUCACCCGUAUUCAACAAACACGUGAAAGUGAAACAAACAACCCAACAAGGCAUUAAUACAUCACUUAGCCAAAAAGUGCUUAAUCCAAAAGCUAUUUCUCUUCAUACAAGAAAUCGACAAAGAACAAUCGCUCAUGUUUAUUUUCGCUAAGUUUCAAUUACAAUAGGGCAAAAUUGAUUCUUCCUACUACUGUAUAAAAGAUCUACAAGAAAUCGAUAUAAUUAUCGAAAGAAACGCAAGUAUUUACCCUAAGGAACACAAUUAUCGACAUUUUACCUCUGGAUGGUACUGAAGCCCAUAGAACUUCCUCGAAGGGUCCGCGAUCGCCGCGACGGAGCCCUGGACGCUCCUCGCGACCACAUUGAACCCCUCCGGGAGACGAACCACCUCGUCCCCGUGGCUCAUCCACACCGUCUGAUGCCCCCCGGCCGCAUCGGGGCCGUAGAGCCCCGAGCCGCCCGCAUCCGCGGCGACGGCGAUCUCCAUCUUCCCGUACUCCUGCUUCUCCCCGACGGCGACGACGCCGCCGAGCUUCUGGACGAGGAGCUGCAUCCCGUAGCAGAUGCCGAGGACGGGGACGCCGUUCUCCUCGGCGUAGCGGAGGAAGCCGUCGGGGAAGGAGGGGGCGGCGUCGGUGUGGACGGAGUGGGGGCCGCCGGAGAGGACGACGGCGCGGGGGCGGAGGUCGGAGAUGGAGGAGAGGGGGGAGGUGCCGGAGAUGCAGAGGGAGAGGACGGAGAGCUGGCGGAUGCGGCGGGUGAUGAGGUGGGUGUACUGGGAGCCGUAGUCGAGGACGAGGACGAGGUUCCCGCCGGCGGCGGUGGCGGUUACGGCGCCGCCACCUCCUGCGGCGGCGGCGGAGGGCUUCGCCAUUAACGGGGUUGAGGCGAGGUUUAGGGUUAGGGUUAGGGUUAGGGUUUAGGGUUUGUAACAACCCUGAAUAAAUGGUAGAAAUAGUAGUAAUAGGAGUUAGUAUGGGAGAGUAGUAAAAGUAGCAGUUUUACUAGUUAAGAUGGAGAAUAAGGGCGGCAGCCGGUCGGAGAGGAGGAAGCGCGCCAAGCGGGACGGCGGGAAGGUGCUCGGGUGGAACUCCGAUGAGGACUAGGGCAUCCUGGGUGCUCCGAAGGAGAAGAGGGAGGAUCGAGGUAGAUGGGCGGAGGCUUCUGCAGGAUCUGGAGGGCGGGGGACGAGAGCGGAGGAAGAGGUAACUCGAUAGCGGGUAGCGGGCGGUCGGAUUACCGGAUCGGGCGUAAAACACGGACCCAAGCCCCGCCCGGUUGUGGAUAGUGCGGAGUAGGCGGACCCGCGAACCGCUUACCCGAUUAUCAUGUAGUUUCGGACCAAACAAGCCCACCCGAGGCCCACAAGCAACCAGAUUCAACCCAUCAGGCCUCAAUUCCCAUUUUAUGUCAAAUUGCUGUUAAGCCCUCGUAGGAUAGUUUAAUUUCAAUUCAGUACAAGCUGUAUGGGAUAUAUAUAGCUAAUAGGAUGUAAUUGGAAGGUAUCGAUGAAAUGAAAUAUUGCUUAUCUUCUUCCCCAAUCCUUCUCUAAAUCCUUCUUUGCUUCUAAGCUCCCUAAUUCUCCUCUCUCUUCUCUACUUCUAAUCCCUAUCCUCAUCUCUCUGUAUCUCUCUCUGUCUCUCUCAUUCCCAUCAUCUCCCAAUUCACGCUCCUCAAUCCGAGGUCUCAUCGGAUCGCGAUUGGGAUCAGGUUGGUCACGCCAUCAUCCCGGUUAGCCAUCCAUCUCCAUUGAGGGUUGCUAACAGGUCCGGCACAUUACAGGGUUUUGGGGGGGCAAUCAAAGAGAAGAGUUUAUAGGCGAGCGCUCGUGAUCGCCCAACUGUUUUUGAGAAAUCACGACCGUCCAUCUUUUCUAAACAGGCGAAGGUAGGUUUUUUUUUUUUUUUUUUUUUUUUUUUUUUUUUUGCUUGAACUCGGCAGAGUUGGAUAAGUCGACGCCGACUUCAGCGAUUUUCAAAAAGAGCGCAUGAUUUUUUCUUCAUUUUUUUAAAAAACAAAAUAUACACAUCAACACCAAGAGUUAGGUAUCAAAAUUCAUGUACCAACUCCAACAUAAGCUCAAUUUAAUAUUCAUUUUACAUGUUUAUUUUUUCUUUAGAUGAAAAAGACUCUCAUUUACUAAUAUUUUGGGUCCAAAUCAAUAGCUAUCUGAAUAUGAUGUACCAUCGCAAGCAAAUUUUUCUUUGUUUAAUUAUUUUAUGUGAAAUCCACAUAUGAUUGAUGUAUUGUACAUAGAGAUGGAGAAUUUUUUAGUACUAUAGUUUUGAUUCAUCAGUAAAUAUAAGAGCUUCUGCUUCAGUAUUUAAAGUUGAUAGAACAAGCAAAUAAAUCUACACCCCAAAUAAUGAAAACUAAGUAUAGCGUAAAAAUUUUGUUUUCUACUACGACAGAAGCAGUAGAAAAAAAACGUCGAUUAUAUAAUUUAAGCUUUAAUUUAAUCUCAAGUUAAACUUCGAUGUGUUAUACUAGCUGGAAGAUUUAACAGAUUUUGGUAAUUGUUCUUCUGAAUUAAACCAAAUGAAAAACUAAAUUGACUUUUUCAGAGGACUGUUGUGAGCUGAUGUUUUUGUGACAAUGAGGAAUUAAUUUAAGAAACAUAUGUUAAUUUUUUGGAUUUAAAUCAACUUGUAUUCUUAUUUAAAAACAAAGAUCACCACAAUUUGUAUAAAAAUGUAUUUUGGACACCUUGAGUAAGACAAGUUGAGCACUCCCAUAAGAAUCCACAUGAAACCCUAUGCCUAAAUCAUGAAUUUAUUAAAUUAAAAGCCAUAUGGAUGAGAAGCACUUCUUAUAAGUUAGCUAUUUCAAGCUCUACCAUUGAAUCAUUCAUUUAAAACCUCUCUCUCUCUCUCUAUGUUAUAAAUAGAUAUUAGGAUUGCUACGAUUACCCUAUAACACUGCACUUAUGCAUUACUGAUGUGUUAUCCGCAGAUUGACUUGCACAGCGUGAACCAACACGUCAGCAGAUAUAAGAGAGAUCGAUAAGAGUUACUACCUAUAACAUCUCUCUGCAAAUAUAUAUAUGUAGAUGCAAUACCAUGUGUAUUAUCAAACCAAUCUCUAUCUCUUUCUCUCCUUGAGAAGAUGCAAGAACUUCAAAAGAACACUCUCAAACUCCCCACCCUAGACCACUCACAACCCCUCCACCCUUCAACCCUCAACUCCCUCUCCAAAGCAUGCAAAGAGUGGGGCUACUUCCACAUCUCCAACCAUGGCAUCUCAACUGACCUCUACCGGCAACUCCGUGCCAUCUCUCUCGACGUCUUCAACCUCCCUUUAGGCACCAAACUCAAAGCAAGCCCUCGCACAUCCGUCAACACUUACACUCCACACUUCAUAGCGUCCCCUUUCUUCGAGACCCUCCGUGUCUCUGGCCCUGACUACUUUUCGUCGGCAAAGAGCUCGAGUGACGCCCUCUUUGAAACACCGAACGAGGAAUUAUGGUACAUCUACUCUUUUUCCAUAUGUUUCUAAGUUUGUAACUAACCCUUCUUUUCAUGUAUGAAUAGCGAAUUAAGUUCUUCAAGAAUAUGGAAGCAAGAUGAUGGACCUAUGCAAGAAGAUAGUUUACAUCCUUCUAAAGUGUUUAGGAGAUGGCCUCGAGACUAAAUACUACGAAUCGGAGUUCGGUCAGUGCCACGGAUAUCUUCGGAUCAAUCACUACACACCACCAAAUGAUAUCGAUGGAGUAGAAGGUGUCGAAGGGCUUGGAAUGCACACUGACAUGAGCUGCAUAACAAUUUUGUACCAAGAUGAGACUGGUGGGCUUCAAGCAAGAACUCAAGAAGGGGGUUGGGUGGAGAUCGAGGGAAGCGAGGGGGCUCUCAUCGUGAACGUCGGAGAUUUGAUGCAGGCGUGGACCAACGGUCGUAUGCGAUCGUCCGCGCAUAGGGCGGUCUUAAGGAAACCGACCACCUGCUUAUCUUUCGCCUUUUUUUGGUGCUUUGAAGAUGAGAAGUUAGUACUUGCACCUGAUGAAGUCAUCGGAGAGGAGGAACGGAGAAUUUACCGGCCUUUUCUCUGCAAGGAUUACAUGAAAUUCAGGCAUAAUAUUGAGAAAGGGAGGUUUGAGAAAGUUAGCUACACUAUCGAUGGGUUCGCGGAGGGUGAUGCUUUAGAUUCUAAUGAAAAGAUUGAGAAAUAAUGGGAAAUUAUUUGCUAUUUAUGCUGCAUUUGUGUAAGUCUGGUGGCAUGGAUUAGUAAUUAUCAUGUGUAUUAGUGAAAUUGAAUGAGAUAACUUAGAAGAGAAAAAGUUAUAAGAAAUUUGAUCACGCAUUCGACGAAAUUUCAUCAUGAAUUUGAUUUCUGGUAAAAUCAAAUUUUGUACAUACACAUAAUUCAUAGAUGGGUUGGUCCAAAAAUAAUCCUUAUAAGUGGCAAAAGGCAUGGUAGUCAGUACCCGAGGUUUCAAGUUCGAAUCCUAGUUGAUUCACAUUUUCAGCUAAAUUUAUUUCUAAAUAAAAUAAACGAAACGGAUAGCAUGCUACCAAUCUCUCUCAAAAAAAAAAAAGAAAGCACUACAUGGCAUUUCUUAUGUCAUGCACCUGCAGAGUUUGAAAACUACUAGACAGAUAAUAAGGCUUGUUAAAUUCAAGCUUAGGAAAAAAGCGACUGCAGGCUUAUAGAGAAUCUUAGGAAGAACUACUUUAAUCCGAAUGUUAUUAAUGCUCUUAAAAUAGUUUUACUCAAACUAAUCAGACCCUCGAACAAUAUUAACUUCCUAUUUCAGUCAUGGUAAUGUAAAACACUUAUCAAUGAUUCAACCAUCGAUAAUGUAUCGAGAUUAAAAAAAAAAAAAAAUUGAUUUGCAGAAGCGUCGCUCAGUUAGAGUUAUAUAAAAAAGCACUGAAUCAAACGUUUGACUUCUGCUUCUCAAGCAGAUAAAUUGUUCCAGUCCAAACAUGCACUGCAUCAGACGAAAAUUAGAUGGUCUUGCAGUGGUAGAACAUGGUGUUAAAAUUGUUCUAAUAUACAAAAAUUUAAGUUACACUAUGCUCAAACUUUAAUUCUUUAGAUUUUUUUGUUCGAACUUUAUAAAUAGUUGGAAUUAAGUUUUAGCUAAAUAUAUUAAAGAAUCCCUAACAUGAAAAUAAGGUUACAUCUUACUUUUUAUGGCAUCAUCUAUCACAACACUACUACAUCACUUGCAAAUUAACUACACAUUAGUAUUCAGCCAACUAAAUUAGAUUGUGGAACUAUAUUGCGACAAUUUAAAAAGUUCGAACAAAAAAUUACAACGAAUUAAAAUUUUGGUCCUCAUAGUUUGAGGACCAAAAGUGUAAUUUAUCCUCUACAAAAUGUAAAGCUGCUGCAGUAGAGGUUUGAGGGGUAAAAAUUUAAAUAAAAAAAUUGAUGCAUUUUACAUUUCGUCUGUUCUCUGAAACUAAUGACACUAGUGAAGGCCCGCGCUUCGCUGCAGAAGAUUUGCGCAUUUUUUAAAAUAUUUUGAACAAACUAAUAUAUUUCUGUAUUUACGUUGUUAUCAUUUAUUUUUAAAAUUUUAAAUUUAAAUUUUUAAUUUUCAAAUCUAAUUUUAAAUUUUAAAUUCUAAAAAAUUAAAGAGCUGAAAAAAAAUAAAACAAAUUAUUUAAAUAGAGAGGAAUAAAAAAUAAUUUGAAAAUUGAAGCGAGCAGAGAGAGGGAAAAAAGCAAAAAGAGCAUUGUCCGCCGCGCCCCGCGCUCCAGCUUGUCCGCGCCACACCGCGGGCCGUCCCACGCUCCUGUGUUUUUUUAUUCCAUUAAUUAAGAGAAAACAAUUAAAAAAAGAGACAAAAAAAAACAAAAAAAUUUAGAAAAAAGGUUAAUUUUACAUUAAAAAAAAAUAGUAAUUUUGCUCUUAUUUUGAACUUUUGUAAAAUAUUAUUAUUCAAGACCAAUCAAAUUUAAAGGGGACUAUUAUUGUCUGAUCUUAUAAUUUUUUAUCCAAAAAUUAAAAAGUUGAAAAUACCGACUGCCUUAUGCUUUCGAUAGCAAAACAACUCUACACAGAAGUAUAUAAAUAGUAUUUCAUAGUUUCUACCGUAUUUAUUAGCAUUCAUAAUAAUUAGCAGUUUAACAUAUAUAAAAAUUUUUGCUAAUAUUUCAUCAAAUGCAGAGAGAAUGAGAGAGAUGUAUAUAACCCGCACAAUUUGAAAUCGCAAUCAAAACUCUAAAAACAAUGACAAAAAAAAAAUAUUUUGCCAAUUUGUUUAAUUUCCUAACAAAAAACCCCAUUUAUUAUUGCGUUAAAACUCAGGAGGUUUGAGACUUAAGUUACUGUUGUUUGAAAAAAAAAAAGAAAAAAAAAAAGAGAAAAAAGAUGAGAGUGAGAGGUGCUUCACCGACCUCUUGCAUGAACUGAUAAGAGAUGCCCGAGCUGCAGCAUCCUUUGUGGAAAUCUCAUAUGCCGCCUCCUCUCCUCCUCUCCCUUCCUCCAAUCCAUUCUCAACUUUGUUUCCACUCUCUCUCUCUCUCUCUCUCUCUCUCGUCUCUCUUGUUUACCAAAGAGAGAGAGACCAAAAAGAAGAUCUAGCAAAGAGAGCUGCUCCAAGAGUAUAAUAUAUAUAUAUAAUAUAUAUAUAUAUAUAUAUAUAUAUAUAUAUAUAUAUAUAUAUAUAUAUAUAUAUAUAUAUAUAUAUAUAGGCGACCGGCGUCGCACCCUCGCGCGCCCCGCGCCGGAGCCCGCGCCUCCGCCUCCCACUGCCGCUCGCCUGCGCCUCCGCCUCCCGCCGCCGACCGCUCGCGCCGCCCGCUCGCGCUGGGGAAAGGGGGAGAGAGGUGUCCGCGUCCCGCGCCGCCGCCCCUCCGCUCGUGCCCGCCCGCUCCGUCGCCCACCCUCGCCCACGCCGCGCCCCGCGCCGGACCACCCACACUGGGUGAACCUGCGCGCGAGCGCCCGCGCCUACUCGCGGCCCCGACCUCUCGCGACCGGCGCCCGCGUCCGCGGCGGCUCGCCUAGCUCCGCUUCGGCCCGCGCACCCGCCCGCGCCCGCCGCGUGCCCGCGCCGGCCCCCAAGGCCCGCGCCUCGGCCCCUCGGCUCGCGCUCACUCGCUCGGGCUCCCGCUCGCGCCAGCGCCCGCCCUCGCUCAAGCCCCGCGCCCGCGACCGCGAGGAGAGGGGUGAGAGGGGAUCUAGAGAGUGGGGAAGAGAGAGAGAUCGAGUGGAGAGGAAAAGAGGAGGGGCGGGUGUGGAGAGAGAGAAAGUGUAGGAGAGAGAGGAAGAGAGAGAGAGAGAAAGGGGGAGAGAGAGAGAGAUAGAGAGAGGGGUUAGAGAGAGAGAGGGUGUGAAGAGAGAGAGGGGGCACAGAGAGAGAGAACGUGAAGAGAGAGGGGANGGGAGAGAGAGAGAGAUAGAGAGAGGGGUUAGAGAGAGAGAGGGUGUGAAGAGAGAGAGGGGGCACAGAGAGAGAGAACGUGAAGAGAGAGGGGAAAAAAAAAAAAAAAAAAAAAAAAAACCUAUCUAGUAAUAAAUCCCCUUCUAAGAUAUAUUAAUGUGGGGUAUUUACUAAUAAGAUCCCCAAAAACAAAAAAAAAAAAAACUAUAAUACCUGCUGAGUAAUUUACAUUAUUAUAUCAGGAUCCCCUCGGAGGGAUCGAUUGCCGGAGCACCAUUUGCCCCGACUCGUCCUUCUCGAACACCCGAUCGAUCAGCUCGUCCCAGGUCAUCCUUUGCCGGCUCUCCCGCGGCGAGCAGGGAGAAGCGGACUCGCCGUCCCCGCGGACGGAGCUCUCGUCGAACGUGCCGUACGUCGACGGGGACCGCGCGUCGGGCACGUCCAGCGAGACGGCCCGCCGUAGCGCCGCCCUGUGCUCCUCGACGUGCUCCCUUUGCAGCGUCUCCUCCCGCUCCAUCCGUUGUUCCGACGGCACUUCUUUUAUUCGUUCCUUUUCUAGCAUCAACUACAUACAGAAAAUACUGAGAAACUUCGACCCUGAACUUUACCCUUUGUCCCAAUUACCUACCUUGCUCUAUAAUUUUAACUGCGGCAAAGUUUACUGGUGUUGGCAUUGUUUACCUUUUUUUGGUUCUUUUUUUAUUAUUAUUGUUUCAAAUUCUAUGCGCUUAAAGAGUGGAUUAUUUGCGAGCUCUGUAGUUCCCAGAUCUUGUUUUGUUUCGACAAAGCAUGAAUUUGUUGCGAAUCAACCAAAAACAAAAAAGUACAAGUGCUGCUACUCCCUAGAAUCCUUUGUGUCAAGUUCUGCUUCCCGGGGGUCACCCAUCGCCUGCGGCUCGAUUAACUAUUUACUCUAAACCUAAUAACUUGUUGGGCUCAACCCACUAGCCCAAAAUGUUAUUGCCCAGUUACUGUAUACACCCCCACAUCUAAUCAUUAGCUAUUCGAUGUGAAACUAUUCUCAAGCCUUGGGAUGUCGGAUACCAAACUAUCAAGACCUGCUCCCCGGGGGGCCACCUAUCACUUAGCCCACGGCUCAAUUAACUACGUACUCUAGACCUAAAAACUUGUUUGGUCCAAUCCACUAGCCCAAUCUGCUAUAGUCCAAUUAUUGUGUCUAGCCUAUUCAAGCUUAUAUACCCUCACAUCUAGCUAAAACUACUCGAUGUAGGACUAUUCUCAAGCCUUGGGAUGUCACAGUUUACCAUACAAAACUUGAAGGGUGGGGGGGAGGGAAUUAAGGCCAAAUGAGCAAAAAUUAUAAAAACAUUAAGACCAAAUGAGCAAAUAAAAUUCAACUUUUUGCCGCAAGAAGAUAAAGAAUGCUUACAUCCAAUGCUUUCUGGGCUUCCCUGUGAAUCCAGAUGAUGGCAUGGUCGGUCGUGGCAUUGCAGGAAAGAACAAUGUGCUCAAACCUGCCGUCAACCGGCACAGCUGUUUUAACAACUGGGGGGUAUCUUCCACACCUGUAGCAAAUCGCGAGUGCCAAAAGAAGUUAACAUCAAAUAUGCCGAAAGCUAAUGCUUAAAGAUACAGCUAAAGUGCUCAAUUUGCAGCUGUGCUUUUAAAUGAUAUAGUAUUUGUGUAUAUGCCCUUCCAUUUAAGCAUUCUCAGGUCAUGGAUAAUUGAGCUGAUGUGCAUAUAUGUAAAUGGAUUAUUUUGGGAGAUACGGGCGAAAAUUUUAACUCUAGCAGGGAAUACAUACAAAUAUGUAGAUGUUGAGCCAUAUCUGAAAAGCUUUGAAUAAUUUGCUGUAAUGUAAAAAAUGACAUCUUCUAGAGAACUGAAGAGAGAAAAAAGAUUAAGGAUCAUUAAUCACUCUCAAAUCACUGCAGUAUUCACUGAUUCCCGGCUCGUAUAUUCAGCAAAAAUCAGAAUAAUUUUUGUUCAAUAAAAAUAUAGAUUAUGGUAAAUAAACAGCAUUUUCCUUCAUGCCAAAUAAUAGACGUGAAUUACAACAAUCAUGUGAAUUAAAAUGCACGAGUAAGUGACAUAUAAAUGGGUGUACACACUGCAAUUUAGGAAAGUGUUAGAACAAUCAUUAGACCUUAAUUCAUCGAGAAACCAUGAGCUAUACCAGAGUACAAAGAAAGGACAAGAGGUCAAAUUCCGAAAGGGCAAUGCAACUGAAUCGGUUAAUUGCAAUACCUGAACGGUUUUCUCUCCACGAUAUGAUAGAUCCGACCCGGUGCGUAAAGCCUCCUUGGAUCUCUCAACAUGACAUGUUCUGGUAUGCAUGUGUCUGUCAUGCAUCUUAGACAUAGCAGGCAUGGCAAACUGUAGAGAAUUGUUGAGUCAAGUUAGGUGAGUACAUUUUUGUACAACAAUAGGUCGGACAUGAGUUAGUUCGAAAAAUCAUAUUAAGGUGUUCAAUGGACUCUGCAUAAAACUUAUACUGAAAACAAAAACAACGAAUAGAGAAAUGCCACUACUUCACCAGAGGAUUGACUUGAAAACAUCUUCCAAAGGAGUAGCUGUCCGAGGCAAAAAAUCAUCCUGUCAAAAAAAGAAAACAAAAUCCAUUCUUAUCAAGUCAGUAAAGAGACACACAUUCUCGACUGCGACACUACAUACAACAAAAUAUUCCAUUAUUACAUAAAAAAGCGCGAAAGUAAUUAUUUAUGUAGCUGAUAUAAGAACAACGGCGGAGAACAUUUAUUGAAGUAUACCAAAACUAGAUGACUAGGUUCCAUUUGCCAUGUAAGACGCAAAUAAAACAUUUGGAAUUUUUUGUCGACAAAUUCCGUGAUAUAUUCAUCAAAAUGUUGUUCCAAAGAAACCAUCUUCGAUACGGAAUUCUCAAAUUCGGAUUUUCUUACAACAUAUUGUUAAUUCUCUCGUUGCUCGGUCAAAUAAUGGAUACGAUGAGCUCCAACAUUCUACAUUUUGCCCAUACCCUGCUCCUACAAAUAUAUAAUUUGCAAGUGUCUGGCUGCUAUACUACUAUUAGUAUGAUCGUCUACGUUCUCAUAAGUCAUUUUUAAUGAUGGCUUUUAUCGUUAAACAUAACUUAGAGCAUUUAAACAUUCUAGAAAUCGAAUUUCAUGAAUUUUUUUUAUAUCAUAUACCUUGUAUCAAGAGAUAUCAAAAUUGACAAUUUAAACGAACGGUACGUGGCGUUUCCUAGUUUAGCUACUAGUAUAGAAGAAUCGGAAUUCAUUAAAACUUUGCUAGAAAAUUCUAUUCACUAUCUAGAUGAAGAUCAAUAACUCCGAUCUUGAAUUGAGCUACUCGAUCUUCUAUUUUUAGAAGGUCGUUCAUUUCAUACCACCCACAACCCACAACUUCUCGAAUGCUCUAGAUUAUAUUUAACUGCGUCGAGAAUGACCGCGCACUACCCUGGUUUAGUUUGCAGUUCAAAAAGGUAAAUAAAAAGCAUGCAAAAGGUCAUACUUGGAGGACGACGGAGUUGAUAAUGUCGGCGUAGCGAACGGCGAGGUUCAGCGACAUACACCUGGCGGGCGCCAUGGCGUAGCACCUGACGCGCCUCCUGUCGACGUUCCCCAGCUUGUCCUUGUUCUGCACGACGACCAUGGCGAGCAGCGCGGCGACGCCGGCGCCGAGGGAGUGGCCGGCGAAGGUGAGGGUGUAGUCGGGGUGGGUCCGGAGGAGGUCGCUGAGGACGUCGCACUCGGCGUCGAGGACCCAGGCGGCGGCGCGGAGGAGGCCGUUGUGGACGUAGCCGCCGUCGAGCUUGCGCUUGCCGAGGCGGUUGUCGAGGAGGAGGGCGUAGUCGCUCUCGACGGCGAGGUUGAGGCCGCGGAUGGCGAGGACGAUGUCGGCGUGGGGGUGGUCGAGGUAGAUGAGGUAGGGGGAGACGCGGCCGCGGGUCUGGGCGUGGUCGCGGCGGCGGACGACGAGGGCGGGGUCGAGGCCGUAGCCGCCGGGCGGGGGGAAGCGGGGGCGGGCGAGGUCGUCCUCGUAGUUGGCGAGGAUGAGGCGGCACACGCGCGGGACGGGGGCGAACUCCGCGGCGGAGGCGAGGCCCCACGUCGCGCUGUCGUCGCAGCCGCUGUGGAGGAAGCGCUUCCACGCCCACCGCGCGCAGGCGAGGCAGUACACGCACUCCAGCAGCGGCAGCCCCAGCGCCAGGGACAUGGGAGGACGACGACGACGACGACGACGACGACGAAGAAGAUGAUGAUCGGAAUGGGGGAAGCUAGGGUUUUGAAUCCAUUGACGCCCCUCUUUGGGGAAGAAGAAGAAGAAGAGGAAAAGGGGAUUAGGGUUAGGGAUUGGGAAUGAUUAAAAAAAAAAAAAAUGGUGAAUUAAUGGAGUGUUGGAGUGGAGAGAUGCUGUGAGAGAGUAGGAGGAAGGGGACCAAAUUUAGAUGCUUGUUUCAAUAUUCCCUGAAGAAGAGGAAGAAAAGGCAAAAAAGAAAAAAACACUUUAUGGUCCUCAAACUAUGGGAGUGUUUGAUAAUCUUGUACUUAAACUUUAAAUUUAUUAUUGUUGGUAACCGAAAUCUACAAUUUCUGACCCGGUCAAAAAUCCUCCUCGAAGAGCACUCUGUGGAUAGUGACCCUCGAAAUAUGCGCCCUUCGAUUGGUCAAGCGAUUCGGCUGACGAGGGAUCGGGUCAACCGGAUUCGAAACCUCUACAGCAAAUUUGGUUCGGCUGGAUGAACCGAAUGAAUAAGAGAAGUAAGAAUUUCAGCCAAGAAAUAAGCCGAAUGGCUAAUACAGCACAAGAGCUGGUCAGCCUGAAGAGCCGAACACUGCCUUCUAUUGAAAGAGAACGGAAAAAGUAUAGAAAAAAGGGUUUUAGUUUACAACAGAGUGAUGCCCAAAGGGCAGACAGACUCCAGGAUGCUAAAUUACAGGAACUACUCUAAGUAGUAAACGCGAGAAAGAAAGGUGCAGGAAAAUAAAGAUGGUCUUUUGUGUGCAGGGGCGAAGACCCCUUUUUGGAGUAUUAUUACACUAUUUAUAGAUAGCCCCAUCGGUCAGUUAUUGUUCUUACACGAUCGGCCACUAUCUCCUCAUAUUCCGGACCACUUCUAGCCGAUCGGAACCGCAUGUAACUGCUUGCGAUUACCGUAACUUCCUUUAAUUGGCGCGAUACACUUUUCCGAUGCUCCCGAUACACGACCGAAUAGAUGCUUUUGAAGGAAAUAUUCGCACCUAAAUCUCAUCCGCGUCUAAUUGGCUCAACAAUUAUUAUAAUAAUUUUUAAUGUAGAUAUUUUUUUGUUAUUACAAUCGAAUUCUAUAAUCUAAUUUAAUUAGUUAAAUAUUAAUAAAUUAUUAAUAUAAAAGUGAUGUUAAAAAAAUUUUGUGAUCAAUGAUGUGACAAUAAUAAAAGUGCUUGUGUGUUUUUAAAAACAAAUUAGCUUUCAUGCUAUCAAAUUAUUUUCAAUACUGAGAAUUUCGAGUUGGCGAUUGACUCUAUUAAAUUUAAUCUAAAAUAUUAAAGUAGGUGAAAAAUAAAUUUUAUAAUUUUUCGAUAUUAUUUAUUUAGUGGUAAAAAGGCUCAAAUCAAUAAUUUUAAUGGUUGUGAUGAGUUAUUUGCAAGUUUAAGAUAUAAAAAUAUUCAAAUCACGUAAAAUUUUGGUAAAAUAAUUUAGUAUUAAUAUUUUUGAUCUAAAAUUUUAGUAUCGUAUCAUCAAUUUUUGUAAAAAAAAUUUUAAGCCGUCGAUUUUGAACUCUUUUGAUUACUAAAAAAUUACGAAAUUUUCUUUAGUAAUACUUUAAAUACUCAUGUCUAAAACGUCGGCACUCGAUAUGAAAGUUCCUGUAUUAAAAAUAAUUUAAUAGCAUAAAGACUAUCGUACUUCUAAAAGCACAAAAACCAACUCCACAUGGAGAGAGAUAGAGAGAGGGAGAGAGAGAGAGAGUUCUAUUUGGGUGCAAAAACCAACUCCACAUGGAGAGAGAUAGAGAGAGGGAGAGAGAGAGAGAGUUCUAUUUGGGUGCAAAAACCAACUCCACAUGGAGAGAGAUAGAGAGAGGGAGAGAGAGAGAGAGUUCUAUUUGGGUGCUUCUAAUAGCAUCAAGCUGUACUGGGGUGCUUAUAAUAACAUUAAGCACUUGAUGCUAUUAAGUUUUUUAACCGUUAGAUUAUUGAUUUGAUCAUUUUUAAUUCAUUAGAUCACAUAUUAUUCAAACCAAUCAUCCGUUUAAUUCUAGAGGAUCACUAUCAUCCUAACCGCAAAUUGCUUCAUCCAAGAUCGAAAAUUUAAUAAUAUUAAUGAAUUGAUAUUAUUAGAAAUAUUUCAAUAUAUAUAUAUAUAUAUAGAGUCCGGCUACUAUACUAUUGAUAGUACCAAGCUCUUGGUACUAUUGAGUUUUCUACCAUUAGAUCUACCCUUUGAUCAUUUACACCCGUUAGAUUAUACUAUUAAACCAACCAUCCACUCAACUCUAGGGGAUCACUAUCAAUUUAACCAGGAACCACUAUUAUCCUAACCGCACAUCCUUUCAUCCAACGGCCAAAAUCUCAAUAGUACCAAUGGCUUGGUACUAUUGAUAGUAUAGUAGCAUAAUUCAUAUAUAGUUGAGCUAAAAUACUAUCGGUAGUAAACGAGCCGUUUUACUAACGAUUUAUUUUCGAUGAUAGAGCUUCCAAAUUAACAAUUGGCUCCAUUAUAUAUGAUCUAAACCAUUUAAACUACCUAGAAAUUAAAUUUCACGCACUUUCGAUAUUGUUUUUUUACCCAUCAAGUGAACAGAAAAAUGAAUGGCUGAAAAUGAAUACUCUUUAAAAAAUGAUAAUAGGAGUCUUGUAAUCAAGAUCAAGAGUAUAGAUCUUGUUUUAAAUAGUUUAAAAAAUUUUCUAACAAAAAUUUAAUUGAUUUGAAUAUCUUUACGCCGUUAAACGAGAAAACGCCUCUUAUCGACCAUUAAAAUUAUAAAUUUUGAAACCCUUUGAUCAUUAGGCAAAUGAUGUCGAAAAGAUUUGAAAUUUGAUUUCUAAACACUUCAAGUGGUAUAGAUUAUGUUCAACGGAGCCGAUCGUCAAUUUGAAAGUUCUAUCAUCGAAAACAAAUCGAUAGUAAAAUUGCUCGUUUACUACCGAUAGUAUUCUAGCUCAACUCUCUCUAUAUAUAUAUAUAUAUAUAUAUAUAUAUAUAUUUGUACUCUCACUGUGAGAAAAAGGAAAUCCAAUAACUUUCUAGAAUAUUCUGGGUAUAUUUGCAAAAGUCCCAAGAUUAUUCUGGUCCUUUUUGACGUUUGUGCCACGUGGGCCAUUGUGGGCCCAAGUUUCAUAGGCAUGGGAAGAGGAUAAAAGGUUUACGUGAACCUGGUCUAUAGACCGGACCUAUUCGAGAAAAAGCUAUUCAGGUUGCUGCCUUGCGAAUAGCGGGUCUACAGGUGACAUGGUAGACACUUUUGUCUACAGACAAAUGAUUUGCAUGAACCGACCAAGUGUGGGCCCCACUAUUUCUCUCCGGAUUCUUCGUUUCAAUAAUUGAAAAACACAAAAAAAUAAAUAAAUAAAAAUAAAAUUUUAAAUAAAAAAAGUAAAUCAUCUCAUCUGUCAUCUCGCUGAAGGCUUGAUCUACAAUCAUUUUACUCAAAAAUUAUAAUUUUUUUAAGGCCAGUUUGCAAAAGAAAUUCAUAAAUUUUGAACUUUUUAAAAUUAGGCCGUCUUUUUUGAUUUUAUAGGUUCGGUCCAAAUUUUCAGCAAACUGACCAAAAUCUACUCUUUCUCUUUCCUCUUCUUUUCUCUCGUUCAUUUUUUUUUCUCUCGCCGAAAAAAGCAGCUGAGGCAGAGGCGUAGGCGGAAACGACCCGCCUCACUUCUCACCGUCAUGCUCUUGCCCUCGCCCUUUCCCUCAUCCGCGCACCCCCCACAUUCCUCACCUCCGACCACGCCGAGACCGCACCGUGACUUUUUUUUUUUUUCCUCUCCGACUCUUCUCCACCGUCUCCGACGACGAUGCCUCUCUCGCCCUUCCCCGCCCUUCUCGUCCUCUCCCUCUCCCUCCUCCUCUGCCGUCUCCGACAACAACGCAUCUUCGCCGACGCCGAUACCGUGGAGGUCACUGCGGCGCUGCAGCCUCGAAGCCGAGGAUCUUUAGCGAUGUCGUCGCCAUUGGCAGAGAGGGGUGACAAAAAAAAAUUAUAGAAAAAGUAAGAAAAAAAAUAAAGAUAAAAUAUUAUAGAAAAAAAAGAUGAAAAUGAAGUUGCACCGUUAAAAUAAAAUUGCAUUGUUUUAAAAGAACGUUGCACUAUUAUGAACAUAAGUUGCACUACUUAAGAUAUAAACUGCAGCUUUAAGAUAAAAAUUACACUCUUUAAACAAAAAUUACAUUCUUUGUGAGAUAUUUACACUGUUUUUUCUCUUAUUGCACUCUUUCAGAUGUAAACUGUAAUCAUUAAAAUGAAAGUUACACUCUUUAAACGAAAUUUGCACUAUUUGAGAGAUAUUUACACCAUUUUUUCUCUUCUUGCAUCAUUUGAGAUGUAAACUGCACCUCUUUGAGAGAUAUUUAUACUAUUUCUCUUCUUGUUGCACUAUUUUUUCUCUUGUUCCACUAUUUCUUCCCUUGUUACACUAUUUUUUCUCUUAAACUGCACCAUUUAUACUAUUUUUUUUCUUGUUUCGUUGAUAAUUAAGCCUUAAAUUUUUAUUCGAAGUAUCUUUCAACAGGUACGAAGAUAAUUUCUCCAAGAAUGUUAAUAUAGAAAAGGUCGAGUUUCGUCUGUACGGCGGAACUGAACUUCACACGUGACCAGAGUGAAAGUCACGAAUUUGUGCCAUACGCGAACUCACCGUAAAUUAUCAAACGAAAGAGUAUAUAUAAAAAAACGUAGAAAUUUUAGACGAGUAAAUUUUAUCACUUCAAACUUUUAAGAAUAAAUAUAAAAGUUAGAUAUUUUUAAGGGAUACAUGAGCAAUUAUUUCUCUUCCAAAUUAUUUGGUAUAAAUUUCGUAUUUAAAAAAUAUAAAAUUUUAUUUUCCUUAAAAUUUUGCUUGAUUCAACGGCCUUAUUAAGAUACGGUCUCUAAACGGGCCAAAAGUCGGCCCGCUAAAGCCCAUUUUAAGGGAGAAACCAUAGCCUGGACCGGAUGUACCACGUCAUCUUUGAACCGCUUGCUUUAUUUAUUUAUUUAUUUUUUCGCCUCUAGGGUUUUACGACCCAUUCAUUCACUCCUAUGUAUAUAUAUAUAAACGGAGACGCCUCCUCCCUCGCGGAGUCGCAAUCGCUUCCUCAAAAAGCUAGGGUUUUUGCAUCAGGACGAAGCCGAUCUAAGGUACUGAGCACUGCAACAGCUUCUUCUCCCAGGGCUUUUCCUCAAAUCGGCUUCUCCAAAUCCCCCUCCUUUUUUAAAAAAAGUUUUUUUUAAAAUUUUUCUUUGUGGUGCGAUUCUCUUUGGAAUGAAUGGAAUUAGGGUUUUUCCUUUUCUUUUUCCUUUUUUUUUUUUGGUUUUGGUUUAACAAUUCAUCGUUUGCGAUGAUGAAUCCUUAAUGGAGGAAUCUGAAAUUUUGGGGGGAUUUAUUCCACCCAAAAAAAAAUGAUUACUUUUCCAAAACUGCAAAGGAUUUCUGAGCAAAUGCCAUUUUUUUUGUAAAAAAAUAAAUGAAGCGGGAGUACUUUUUUUUUUCUUUGAUCUGUUUGAUUCAUCAAAAAUUUGAAUGGUGCGAUAAAUAAGGAUCAAAAAUAGAAUUAAAAUUAACUCAUUCCAAAUCUAUCCCGAUCCGAAAUUUUGAAAAAAUUGGUAUUAAUUUUGAAAAAAUUAGCAUUAAAAUCCGCCAGAAGCUAUCAAAUUAUAAUGGUGAUCAUCAUCUUUAUAAGUAGGUAAAGGUCGGAGAUGGCGUGAUCUAUUUUAUUAAAAUUACAUUAAUUUGGAUGGUUAACACCUAAUGGCGCAAUUAACCUAAACAAUUUUAUUCUCUAUGCAAUUAAAUUUUUGGUAAAAUUAUAUAAAAUUUAUCUGAGUAUGGACAAUUUUGAUUGGAUAUUUAAUUUUUCAAAAUUUUGAUUUUGUUAUCUAAUUUAUUAAUUUAUUUGAUUUAGUUAGUGUAAUUUAGGAAUAAUUGCGUGUAUGCUCUUCAAAAUCUCAAAAAUAUUUAAUUUAAUUUAUUUUUUGUUUCUAAUAUAUUUCACAUAUAUUUUUUUAUUCAAAAAUAUUUUUGCAGUUAUCACCUAUUAAUUUAUUUCGAGUUAACGUGAGUUAAAUAUUUACUAGAAUUAAAAAAUAUUUUUUUAUCUUUAAUUUAAGGACAAAUAAAAAAAAGUUAAUAAUGAUAGAAUAGUAUGAUUUCGUUUGGGAUUGCGAAGAGAUUGUGUUACGUGUGGUAUAAGAAAAUACUCUAUUUUUUUCCAUACGUAAUAUUGCGUUCCGCACAUCGUAAUUAAACUUUGUUUGGGAUUGCUGAGAGAUUGCAUUACAUGUGCUGAGAAAGUACGAUGAGAAAAUAUCAUGUUUUUUUUCAUACGUAAUAUUGCAUUCCGCCGCGAUGAGUCACCGCGAUGAGUCAGCUACAAUAUAUUUUCUACGGUCUCACCGGAAUGCAUAAGCAUAUUUCUAUAUGCCUUUACCCUAAUUCUAUUUUAUCUAAUAACAUCAAAUGGACUAAGCCUUAGUCGGUUAUGAUAUAUCUUUUACGGUAUCCCAACUCCAUUUUUUCUAAUAGUAUAAGAUGGACCUUAAUAUAUUUUUUGCGGUUCCACAAAAAAUAUAUAUUUUUAUAUAUUUUUAUCCUAACUCUAUUUAUCUAAUAGCAAUAGAUAGAUCUCAAUACUAAAUUAAACCUAACAAUUUAGAAAUAGAAUUUAACUCUAUUUUACGUAAAUAACGAUUACAACUAGUGGUUCGGUAACAAAAUUUAACUCUAGGAAUAUUUUUGAAAUAAUAUAGGGCAUAUUUGAAAUAAUUUGAAAUUUUAAAAAAGUAUUUUUAAUAUUAGCUUUCUAAGAUUUGAAAUAACUUGAAAUUUAAAAAAACAUUUUUAAUAUUAGUCUUCUGAUGUAAACUUAAAAGUUGGAAAUUUUUCAAAAUUGCCUCUAUAAUUUAUUUAGUUUUUAUAAUUAAAAAUUAUAAAAAUAAUUAAUUAAUUUAAAUUUAAAUUUAAAAAUAUUAUUUACCGACUUAAAUUAAAUGUAUUAAAAGAGUGAAUAAUAAAAUUAAAAUUACAGAGAUUGGAUAUCGAAUUUAAAUAACUUUUCUAAGGAAGACCAAGCGCGGCCGAUUCGAACCAAACCGGUUUAACAGCCCGUUCGCAAAGACCGGCUCCCCCGGUUUAACUUAAACUGGAAAAAGGCGAAGUUCGAGAGCAUCAUUCGAUCAAACCAAAGGGAAUCGAAAAGGGGGGCGAAAUUACCUCACCCUAAUCCCAGUUAAUCUCCUCAAUCCCUUCUACUUCUCUCUUCUUCUUUUUUUUACCUCUUUUUUUUAUCUUUGUAGAUUUCAUGACACAAUCUCAAUUACCUUUACUUUUUGUCUUUGUUUCUGUUUUUUUUUCCCUUAAUUAUCACAACUGGUACUCCAAAUUUUCUAAUUUGAAGCGAUUUUUCUCUUCAAAUUUGGAUUUUUUUUUCCUGUGUGUUGACAUGUUCUAUGUUGUUUAAAUCUUGUGUCGUGUGUGAUUAGGUUUCAAGUAUUUGCGAUAAAGAUCGCGUAGAUCUACACAUCUAGUUUUGGGGCGAUUUGAUUUGGGUUUCUGUAACUGUUAUUUCAUGCAGCAUAAGAAUUAAGGUUUGGAUUUAAAGUUGUUGUUUAGGCUAAUUUUUUGCAUAAUUAUCUGCAAUAGGGCAUUAAAUUUGUCCUUGGUUUGAUCAGUAAUUUGUCCUCUUCAUCCUCAUUUUGUGCACGUAAGGUGUUUGUGGAAAUGCCCUAGAGAGAACAUUGUUGCAUCUCUAGCUAUAUCAGUCCAUUUGCUUAUCUGUGGAAGCAUCCCACAUUUUUGGAGCAGCCAUUGCCUGAACCCGAUCUACGCAGCCGCUCGCGGAUGGUUCAGUUUAGUGCAAUGCAUAUCACUAAACAAAGGCAUGUUCUUGUGUAGACUCUGUCCGCCGAGCAACAUACAUUCGACGCUCAUCAAAAUGCGACUAUUUGCAUUUGGAUGGCAAUGAAAGAAAAAUAAUUGUCGGGACCUCCUCGAAUUUGAACUCGGCAGCAUAUGAAUUUGAGUUCAGUUUUGGUCCAUGUGGUAUGCGAGGUACAUUGAUGAACUUUUCCUAAAUAAGGAAGCUUCUUCGACCGCACAGGUAUAUGUUGCAGAUUUGCACUUACCAAAAAAUAUCGAUUCAUGCCUACUAGUUCUGUCAGUAAGCUGUUAUUAAACAUAGUUUGUAGCUUAUGCAAGGAGUUCGUCUAGUGGUGAUAUAGAUGAAAAAUGUAAAGAUCACUUUUCUCAGUCAAAUUUGAUGUAGCUCGAUACUCCUGAUAGAUACAUCUUAAUUCUUCGUCAAUCUCAGAAACAAAUUUCUCGGCGACUAACAGACCUGGAUCAAGUAUUUACAUAUUUCUUUUUUUCCAAUUCAUUUGCAUAAUAGCUGGUCUGAAGACUCUCCACCUUGAGUUAUCAGCAGUUUUCUCAGCAAAUCCGACGUCAGCAAGCGAAGGUCAAUUGAAGUUUCUGCAUGCUUCUUCCCAUGCAUUCCUGAUCACCUACGACUAAAGCAAAAAACUCUACCUGCUGUUACUAUUUGUAGCAUGGAACCGGAGUCAUCUCAUGUUCCACUAAUACCUGGUCUUCCCGAUGAUAUUGCUCUUCUUUGCUUAGCUAGGGUUCCUCGGAGAUACCAUCAUGCCCUGAGAUGUGUUUCGAGAAGAUGGAGAGGGUUAUUAUGUAGUGAAGAGUGGCGCUUAUGCCGCCAAAAGAACAAUUGGGAGGAGACUUGGGUUUAUGCCGUGUGCAGGGACAAGAACAAAGGUGUACAAAUUUAUGUGCUGGAUCCAGAUCGUGCAAGCCGGUGUUGGAGAGUCAUACAAGUUAUUGAAACUCCAUGGAUGAAGCGGGAAGGCGUGUCCUUUGAAACUUUGGGUAAGAAGUUAUAUCUCUUCGGAGGUUGCGGCGGAGGGAAAAAUGCCGUUGAUGACGUAUAUUGUUACGAUGCUUCUGCUAAUCGAUGGGAGACAGUGGCACGAAUGCCAACAGCCAGGUAAUGUGUUAUGCUUGGCUCUUUAAUUGUUCCGUAUUGCAUCUUAGUAUAGACUUUUUCUUUUUUAGUUCUGAGAUAUAUAUAUAUAUAUAUAUAUAUAUAUAUAUAUAUAUGUAAAUUUAUCCUGCAAGAUUUUCUAGUAUCUAUAUGUGUUGGAUAUCUGAAUUUCAUAUCUGAAACUUAAUCUCUUAUGCAUAGACCCCUUUAUUUACACAAGUGCCCAUUUCACAAAUAUUUUAAUAUGUUUGCAGCGACGAUAUUGCAGGUACGCAAAUGUAAAAGCCGCUUUUUCUUUAAAUCUCGAGCGAGUAAGUGGAUCUUUUCCUUCACAAAGGAUGAAGGGCAUUUGGAACUUACUAACUCCUGUUUGUUUCAAAAUAGGCAUUUUUGAUCGUCCUUCUAGAAGCCCAUGAAGACAUUUGACCCUUGGCUGUGAUUCAUAGAUAUCUGGCUCAAUAUGAUCUCAUAUUUGUGGAUUGUACUUAAAACUUUUCAACAUCUGUAAACAACAAAAUUUACGAAAAUCAAUUGAUCGGAAAUUGUUAUAUGCGUAUCAGGUGCUAUUCUGUCUCGACAUCUGUAAACGACAAGCUUUACGUCAUGGGCGGGCUUGGGUCAGAUGGCGCUGCACCGAAUUCUUUGGACGUCUUUGACUCCGAUUCGAAUACUUGGAGCUCGCACGAGAGCUCGAUGCUCACCCGCAAUGUUAUAAAGAUCAUUCCGGUUGAUGAGAAGUUAUAUACUGUGCACAACGAGACGGAGGAUGGCUAUCCCUUUGCCGGAGUUUACGAUCCCUUGUCCAGAAGCUGGCAUGCUGAAGAGAAUGGUAUUGCAGUGUGCUUCUACGGGCCAACGGUCGUUAUCGAUCGGACCGUUUACAUCAUGUUAGAUCAGUAUCUGGGGCCGAGGCUGAUGAUGUGGCAGGAAGAGACCAGCUGGGACCCACUGGGGAGGUUGUCGUACCUACUGGCGAGGCCGCCAUGUCAGCUCGUGACUAUCGGGAGGAGCAUAUUUGCGAUAGGGAGGGGGCUAAGCACGGUGAUCGCCGACGUGGACACAGCCGCUAAGGUUCCGGGGUUUUUAGUGUGCUCUUCGUUCCGACCGAUAUUCGAAGAUGAUUUUAAUGUCAUUAGCUGCAAAACUAUCACCAUUUGAAAUGACCUCUGUAAGAUAUCUAUUUUGCUUUCAUUUGGAUAUUUAAAUUUAAAUAAUAUUCAUAUGAAUCAUGUUCUUUUCCAAAUCUCUUCCUCAAAGCUUUGGCAAAGUGAUCUAUAUAAUGUGUUGCUUACAAUACUUCAUUGUGCCUAACCACCAGGUAGUGAUGUGAACUUUUGUGUUGUGAGGGAGUAGUUUUGUUCAAGUGAAGUUUUAGAUAUAAGAAAUGUAGGGCUUAUUUGGUUUUGCUUUAACAUGUAAUGUUAUUUGAUGAACUGUUGUCGGAGCAGCGCAUGUAGGAGAACUAUGGAUUUAUUAUGGUUUUUUUUUUUUUUUGAAUCGGCUAUCCAGCUUUUUAAAAUUUUGAUUUUACUAUCUAUUUUUUUAAUUUAUUUGAUUUGAAUUGGUCAAUAAUAUUUUAAUUUUACAAUUUAAUCUAAUUAUUUAUUUAAUAAAUUUAUAUUGUGAUAAUUAUAUAAAGCAUUCUAACGAAAUAUAUAAAAUAAACGACACAUUUAAAUUUCUUUAAAUUAAAUGUCGUCGACAAUCUUAAAUCAAUUAAAUUAAAAUAAAAUUAAAAUUUUAAAGGAUUAGAUAACUGAUUUAAGAUGGCCUAUAGUUCAUAUAAUUUUUGUAAGUUUUUUAUUUUGUUUUUUUCCAACAGCAAAAUCAUAAGCAUCUCAAAACAUGCCAUAAUUCCCCCUUAGGUAAUGUAAAGGUAAUGUAACAUCACUAUUAUUAGCGCAUCAUUAAUCACAAUAUUAUUAAAUUAUUUUUGUAUUGAUGAUAUAUUAAUAUUUAGUCACCUAAAUUAUUAUGUUACAGAAUUUAAUUAUAAUAAUUUUAAAAUUUGAGCUAAAGAUUAAACAAAUUAAAAUUUGCCACGGACUUUAUAGUUUGAAGAGCAAGUGCACAAUUCACCAUUAUUUUUAAGUCCAAACCAUGUCAUCUCGAAAUUAUAAGGUCAGAGAUUUGAAUCACCGUUUCAGUAAAGUACAAGAAUCGCUAACUGAUUCAAAAAUCAACCACGCCAAGCAAAAUCAAAACUUCAAAAACAUGCAUAGUCGUCCCAAUAGUUCAGAUCAAUUCCACACUUUCUUUUUUUUUUAAAAAAAAAAAACUAAUUUAUUUAAGUUAAAGAAACCAAAGGAAGAAAAAAAAAAAAAAAAAACUCGUAACACAGGAAUUUCAUCAAACAGGUACCGUGCGUGUACGAGGCGCGCCCCCAACGCCACUGCUCAGCACCCAUAUAUCUCCUUGAGCUUCGCCGCGGCCGAUUCGUCGAUCGAGUACUACAAACACAAAACACGCACAAAAGAAAUAAGAAAAAAGGGGUUUGGGGAGAGAGAGAGAGAGAGAUUAGGGUUCGCAUGUAGGUAGGGUUUUGAGGGGAGGGGGGGGGACCUUGUUGAGGACCCAGGUGGAGUGGGCGUAGGCGCGGCGGAGGAGGUCGGGGAGGGAGGUGGAGGGAUCGGCGUCGCGGUAGUUGACGAAGUUCUCGCGCGCGUACUUGGCGUAGUAGGCGCGCGUCUCCGGGGGGAGGCGCCGCACGAGUCGCAGCACCUCCAUGUACGCUCGGAGCCCCUUCUUCUCCAUUCGCCCCGCCCCCUUCCGAGGAACACUUACUUCACUGGGGAGCUCUCAAAAAUACCUACGACUUUAAAUUAAGGUUAUAAAUAGCGGGUAUUUCGUAGAGUCUUAUAGCGAAAAGCGGAUAACAUAGCAGAAGCUAUCAGUUAUGUAGAGUCGUGUAGCGAAAAGCGGAUAGCAGAUUUCAUAAAUAAAUUUAAGGGAAAACUUUAAAAACCCGCCGUGAUUUCGUAGUUUCUCAUUUUAUUCCCUGUGGUUUAAAAUGUAUCAAAUUGCCCCAUGUGGUUUCGUUUUUAUCCUUUCGGUAGCUUUUUCGUUAAUAUUUUAUUAAAUUAUAUACAAAAAACUUUAAAUACCCAUCUAGAUUUAUCAAAUAUUCAUUUUAGUACCCUUUAAAUUAAUUUUAUCACUGAUUUAAAAAUAAUAAUAAUAAAAUUGAUAAUAAAAAGAAAAAAAAAUCACAAUGGGGCAAAUUGAUAUAUUUUAAAUCAUAGGGGGGCAAAGUGAGAAACUACGAAACCACAGGGGGGUUUUUUAAAAUUUUUCAUUAUUUAAUAUAUUUAUAUUUUUUAUAAAAAAAUAUAUGGCUAAAUUAUAGAAAAUUUUUUAUUAGUAACCGUUUUUCAAUUUUUCUCACUGGUAUUUAAAAACCUACACUUUGUCUUCUUAAAAAGUAAAAAAUGCUCAUUUUAACCCAUCAUCGGUAUUCUUUUAGAGUUUCGUUUAUAUCCUUUUUUUUAUACCCAAAAUAUUUUUGAAAUCCUCUUCAUUUUUCAUCCUCGGCUGCGUCACCUCGCCCUCCACUGCGCCGUCUCGCCCUCGCCCACCUCUCCGUCCACACCAACCUUGAAGAAAAUGGGGGCAAUUUAGUUAUUUUUUCACAGCGUACAUCUCUGUGAACAUUUCUCUUUUUUUAAGGGGAUAAACGGUAGGUUUUUGAAUAAUAGGAUGGAAAAGUCAAAGAAAAUAGAUAUUGAUAUGAGGAUUUUCUAUAAUUUAUCCAAAAUAUAUAUAUAAUUUGAGUAGGUCUUGUGUGCUUUUAGGAGCACGGAGGUCUCCGUGCUCCUAAGCCGUUUUCGAUGAUAGAGCUUCCGAAUCGACGAUCGGCUCCGUUAGACUUGAUAUAGCGUAUUUGAACUAUCUAGAAAAUAAUUUUUGUAAUUUCUCGGUAUCAUUUUCCUAGCGAUCGAAAGGGUUCAAAAUCAACAAUUUUUAAUGGUUGAUGUAUACCGUUUGCAAGUUUAACGAUGUAGAAGUAUUUAAAUCAGAUAAAAUUUUGAUAGAAAAUUCUUAAUACUAUUUACGGUAAGAUCAAUAUCUUUAAUCGAAAAUUUUAAUGCUAUAUCACAAUUUUUUGUGAGAUUUUUAUUUUCAGCCGUUGAUUUUGAACACUUUCCAUCGUUAGGUAAAUGAUAUCUAAAAAUCGCAAAAUUUUUUUUUCUGGAUACUUCAAAUACGCUAGAUCAAGUAUAAUGGAGCUUAUCGUCGAUUCAGAAGCUUUAUCAUCGAAAACGGCUUAGGUGCACGGAGGCCUCCGUGCUCCUAAUAGCACACAAGACCUACUCUAUAUAAUUUUGAAGAAAAGAACUAAUCUUUUAGCACUGCAAAUCUAUAUACGUUUAAUAUUAGUAUCUAUCAAGAAUUUAAGCUUAACUUUAAAAUAUUUAGCAAACUAAAAUAAGCAUAAAAGCUUGAAAAUGUAUAAUCUAUUAACAACCUAAUCAUUCUUUUAACGUACUUUUUAAAGAUUUGGAUUUAUAACCCCCGCUUUUCGACCCCUUCUAGCGGCCACUUUAGCUAUGUUGCUAAAGCGACUACUAUAAACCCGAAAUGUUAUAUACCGCUUUAUAUAACACUGCUUAUGGCCGCUAAUUAAAACACUACUUUAAAUGAAAUUAAUUAAAUAUAUAUUAGUUGAAAUUAGUAGACCUAUAUAUUCAGCUCGUUUUAACACAAAAAUAAAAAAUAUAUAAAAACAAUUAAAAAUAAUUUAAUAAAAAUUUUAUUUUAUAUCUUUUUCUACUAUUUGUUGGUACCUCUUAGAAACUGUUUGUUUUAUGUGAUUGAAUCUGCACUACAAUCAUAAUUAUAUACAAAUCUAAAUUCGAUGUUUGGUUUUGUUACAUUUGAAUCUAGCUAUUCUAAUUGGAACUGUACGAAAAAGUUUAAUUGCAGCAGUUAAAAUUACGUCUAAAUAGACUGCAUUUUCAACUACAGCAAUGAGAAUUAGUAGAGUAAAUAAAAGAUAAUUUUACCUUCCUAAUCACUUUUUAAAUAAAAAAAUUUUUCUUCUCUACUACUUACCUACGUUGAGAAUCACUUACCUACGUUGGGAAUCACUCACCUACGUUGAGAUUAGUUUCCCAUACUGAGAAUUUCACUUUCCUACACUGAAAAUCACUUUCUUAUACUAUACUUUUCUGUGUAGAAAUAUCACACAGAGAAGCAUGUAUACGGGCAACCUUAGUUACCAAUAUAAGUAACUUGAACUAAGUAUAUUGAUAAACCAUCAAUACUAGUUUACUUUUCAGUGUUAGCUUUCCAGUGAAGUGCUUUGUGGGAAAGCACUUAUCAAUGAAGUACUUCGUGGGCAAGCACCGGAUAUAUUCAGGUAUCGUAACCAACGUCUUCCUCUGUCUGUCUUUUGUCAACUUCUCAACUUCAGAAGUAAGUAUUAUUAAGGUAAGAACAAAAUAUAAGAUAAAGAAAACUGUUGAAUUAGCUCACUCACGAGUUUCCGAGCUGAAGCACACACGUUUGCGUCAACUCCAAAUGCGAAGUAACAUAGGACCCUCCAACAAGCAACUAGGCCACGUGUGGUUUAACAAUCUUGCCACCCCUGCCUAAUUCGGAAUUCCUUUCACCGUAACGAUGUGCGGAACUUCGGAAAAAUUAGAAAGAUAAAGUAUGGAAAUAGUGUUAGACAAGGUUGUUAGAAUUCCGAAUUUUGGCUUUUACAGCUGACGAUGAGAUGCUCUCUACCGUUGUUUGAAAUACUCUGAUCUUUCUAAACUACCGUACCUGAAGUCUGCGACCGUCUUCUUUAAUAAAAAGGAAGACAGCUGAGAGUUUCAACGAAUACAGGAGUGAUGAGGUUCUGGUCUUCUUUUGCUACUACUUGGACAACGUGUUUGAGCAUGUUCUGUUUUUACCCUACUUCUACUGUUAUAUACGGCUCCGUUAUAAGAUUUACGAUACAGCCUACGCGAAAAGCUGCAGAUAGUUUUACACUUUUGCCGAUUUCUUGACACCCUUCCGGAACUUCUUUUUAUGUUUAGGCUCCUACGGUGUUCAUUCUUCAAAGAACAAUCGUUUAAAUUAUUGAUAUUUUACCAACUAUCAUCUAGACAAGAUCUAGUUAAUGUACUUUAAGUUGUAUAAGAGUUAGUUAAAUGAGUUGUAUUAUACUUAUACCUACUUAGAUAUUAACACCGGAGAUAUUAGCUAUUUGAAGGAGGUAGUACCUUUCUGAAAUUCUUUUCAGAAUUUGUAUCUUUCCUUCUCUAAUGAGAAUUUCUAAACCGAUUGGUAGAAGCGUAUCUUCUUCUUAUAGCAAACGUUCUAUCGUUUUUCCUCGUUCUACGAGUCUCACGGUUUCACAUACACUGCCUUCUACUCAUAUCAUUUUGGGCAGUUGGGUGUUUUCUUUUAGCUUUCUCUCGAUUCGUAGGCUAGUUGGUGUUGUACUGUUUAUUCUUUUUCUUUCCACGUACGAAAGUAACACCAUUUGGUCCGGUGAUGUUCUUUCUUACAGCCAAGGAGUUUUUCCUUUCACGUGGCCUAAGGUUUUCUUUAAAACACCGAUACUAUAGGCUCCGAUUAUAUGAGCUUCUACUGCCUCGAACCACCUAACUAAGCCCAAGGUGUUCCGUACACACGUUCCUAUUUUCAAAUAAGUUUUGAAUACUACGUAACCUCCUACCUUUGCAAGAGAUAUACCCGUUAAGAAGUUGUCGUGUUUAGUUUCCUUUGCCGUUCCACCUUGAGCUCAAGUGUAGUCCUUUUUGAGAGUGAGAGUGGCUACACAUAGUACAUGGACUUCAAUCCUUCUUAGAAUAAAGUCCUUCAGAAGAAUUGUUUAAACCCAAGUUUGAACAUAAACUCCGGCUGUUUAAAUAAAACAGCUUCCCACCUUAGAAACACCCUUUUCCUAUAAACAUACUCCCGUACAAGUUUGAGUUAGAAUAAUUAUUUUAUUUAUAAAGUCGGAUAUAAUAACUGAGAAGAAGAAAUACCGUAUUAGCAAAUCCUGUACAAUUAAUAUCUUUUAAUGUUCUAUACCGAUUCAAUCUCAAUUAAGGAUUAAAACUAUUAUUUAAUCUUUUUACAUUAUGAACGUACGAGUGAUUUUAAUGAUCUUUCAGAAAAGGAUUUUAACUAUCUACAAGAUUAGAUGAACUCAACCAUGUAUCACUACAAACACUGAACGUACGAAGAGGAAGAUAACCACCUUUCUUUAUAAAACAAUGUAAAUAACUACUAAAAAGAUCUAUAUCAAUACAAAUAGAAAACGUAAGAUUUUUACUUCGCGAUCUAUUUAAAUCUUAUAUAUUUAGACUUCAACUCCACUUUACACUCUUUUACCAGUUUACGGAUUCUUGUCUGUCUUCUCCUCUUAUAAUACUAGGAAGUAAAAAACUCAGGUAACCAUAAUAUGUACUUUGGAGACGUGGAAUAUGAGGUGUUGUUUUGCCUCAACGUCUUUCUUUUUUAUCUUGUAAUUACCUUUACCAGUUACGAUACGAAAGAUUGAGACCCAAUUCAAUACCUAAAACCCCGCUUCGAAAUAAUUGUCGAACGGUAGAUGAUUUAUCUUAGGGUUGUUUUUUCUUACUAUUUUGAGGAAUACUUAAUAAGUUCCCUUCUUUCGGGUUAAAUUUAAUAAAUUUUCAAACCCCAACAUCUCGAUAACACUCCCAAGGUCUUGGCUUUUCUUUCUUUGACCCACUUUCUCCUUAACUCACGUAUAAAUAACCCAUACGUGUUGUAUCAUUUCGUAUGUCUAAAAUGCACUAACUUAGAUUACUGAAGUAACUCUAGUUGUGUCAAAAACUUAGAUUUCUACGAUAUAAACUACUUUUGUCUAAACAUAGUUAAGGAUCUGGGUUUCUUGAAUAACACUCAUUUCUUGUGAGGUUACUCUUUUUACUACAACGUUAACUUUGGGGUCUUGAAUCUUCCUCAUUUUCUCAAUCUUAACGAUUUUGUAAACCUGGUCUAAAAAUAUGAAAAGAACAACUCCCAUCAUCUCUUUACUAAUGUCUUUCAAAGGUUAAAACAAAUUUGUAACUGAGUCUGGGGUGUUGUAAACUCCUCCGUUACUUUAGAGGACUACAGCGAAAAACCUUUCUUCGCUAUUUACUACUUUACCUGAGUUAAUACUGUUUGGUUUGUACCUUUAAUCAACUAGAAGGAGGACCUACAUUUGGAUAACCCACAUUUACCUAAAAGUUUUUCUUUUAGUUACAUUUACCGUGGUAUCUAUUUAAGUUCCGUUCUGAACAACGGUUUCCCAAAUGUGUUUUUCUUCCAUAACUAAUAAAACUAUGGAUACGUGGACAACGGUCUAAUCGCUGAUAAUCUUGAAACUAACGAGAACGAAGUUACAUAUUAAACUAAUAAGUAGUUUACCUACAGUUUUGUCGUAAGAAUUUACCUCUUAAUCUACUUCUUCAAAUAUACCUUGUCGGGCUCCCGAAACAACAAGGACCUGUUCUCGUGUUUCACACAUUUGAAUAGUUCAGCAACAUACCCGAAUUUGUUCGUGGAUUUGUUACCGUAGUUUUCAAACUAGUCUAACAAGAAAGGUUACCAAUAUUUUAAUUAGUUAGACUAUUUACACAAAUAUCAUUUAAAAGUUUACCAUUUCCACAAUAAUAUACAGAUAUACAACUACUGUACAAUUAAAAACCGUGGCUACAAGUCGUUCAUCUUUUAUGAUUUUUAAAAAAUAGAACGUUAAAACUAUACUUUCUAUACCCCCUCCGACUAUAAUAAAACCCUUAAUUUUAAUAAGCACUUUUAUUACCUAAUAAAAAUUGUGUCAGAGUAAUAUAGCUUUUCUAAGAAUCUUUUAAACCAAUUAAACUAACAUGAGGUCAUAGUUGAGAAAAACUAGGAUUAGAUUUUGAUCAAGCAUUAUGACCAUCUAGUUAAUUAGUCAAUCUUAUAAGAUUCUAAUAACCUUCAAACUACAUACGGUACAGAACAUGAUCCGGACUAUAACGUAAACGACAACCAUUUAAUUCAUCUAAAUGAUCGUUAGGUCCAUUACAUGUAACCGUACGAUAAAUGUCUUAAAACUUUAUAAACUUUUUCUGUUACCUGAUACCUUAAAAGAUAUCACCUAUAGGUUGUCAUAACCUUCCGAUAUGUCUACGGUCAACCUAUUGUCUAGUUCUUCUAGUACGUAGGUGUUCACCCACCUAUAAAUAUAAUCCACCUCCACGCUAAAGAACCCCAAGAUUCUUUGUCUGUACAUAUCGCCUGAGAUGGUACCGUCGUCUUAAAUAUCGUGAUCGCAGACGAUCAUUCCUCCGCCUUACCUAUUCCUUAAAUAAUAUACUUUAAGGUCAAACCGGUUUUGGUUACGGCGGCCAUAGCGAUGUAACGCUAUCACUUCGAUGCGAGAGUUCUCGUAUAUCAGUUUGUAUGUUACCCUUCAGUUCUGUAUAACCUAAUUCUGUAUCGAUACAUUUUGUUGACUAUAGUCUACCGUAUUAAUGGUAACUAAAACAUUCUAGUUUGGUUUUAGAACGCCUAGGCAACUGAUUCCCUGAAGGUUCUCUUAACUAUAAGUCCUGUAGCUACCCCUACCCAGAGUUCGGGUAUAAUGUUUCAGUGGUUACUACCUUUGAGCUGAAUUGUGAACUUUGUAGUAGUUCAGAAUUCAAGUUACUCGGUUUCAUGUAGUAUACCUCACUAACGUUCGUGAUAUUAUAUUUUAAAGGUAGGGUUCAUUUCACGAACCAUAGGCAUAACUUUUCCCUUCCAACUUGAUUAUUUCAAGAAUUAUCUGGAUGUCAUCAUAAAUGACUUCACAAUUUAUGCCCUGUGAAGACCAUCUCAGAUGGAUAUACUUACACUUCACACCGGCGAAGAUCCUCAAUUCCCGAACUGAGAUUGUCGUAAGUACUUUGUCCUACGCCUGUGUUCCGGUAUUUUCACAGUCGUUAUUUUAUCUCGUGAGCUGACUAAUAUUUAAAGAUACACACUCUAUACAGGCCAAUUAGCUUUUAUUAACAACCAAGUUUCGAACAGAUAGUAAGUUAAUACUGAUUGAAACUACACAAAAGUGAUUCACAUCCAAGUUCAAAAUUAUGUGGAUGUGGAUACGUAUGCCAAAACAGUUCAACAGUUCUUAAAACUAAAACUAAAAACUAAAACAAAAUAAAACGAAAAACUACAUAAAAAUACAUAAAAUUUUAAACCACCCUUUAACAUUCCUUUUAAAAUUUUAUUAUAUAAAACAAAUAACAAAAAUCACUUACCUACACUAAGAAGCACUUUCCUACGUUAGGAAUCACUUACCUACGUUGAGAAUCACUUACCUACGUUGGGAAUCACUCACCUACGUUGAGAUUAGUUUCCCAUACUGAGAAUUUCACUUUCCUACACUGAAAAUCACUUUCUUAUACUAUACUUUUCUGUGUAGAAAUAUCACACAGAGAAGCAUGUAUACGGGCAACCUUAGUUACCAAUAUAAGUAACUUGAACUAAGUAUAUUGAUAAACCAUCAAUACUAGUUUACUUUUCAGUGUUAGCUUUCCAGUGAAGUGCUUUGUGGGAAAGCACUUAUCAAUGAAGUACUUCGUGGGCAAGCACCGGAUAUAUUCAGGUAUCGUAACCAACGUCUUCCUCUGUCUGUCUUUUGUCAACUUCUCAACUUCAGAAGUAAGUAUUAUUAAGGUAAGAACAAAAUAUAAGAUAAAGAAAACUGUUGAAUUAGCUCACUCACGAGUUUCCGAGCUGAAGCACACACGUUUGCGUCAACUCCAAAUGCGAAGUAACAUAGGACCCUCCAACAAGCAACUGGGCCACGUGUGGUUUAACAAUCUUGCCACCCCUGCCUAAUUCGGAAUUCCUUUCACCGUAACGAUGUGCGGAACUUCGGAAAAAUUAUAAAGAUAAAGUAUGGAAAUAGUGUUAGACAAGGUUGUAAAAAAUAAUAUUUAUAAUAAUUUAAUAAAAAAAAGAGUGGCUAUGGAUAUAAUAAUAAUUGUUUAUGUAUUAAAUUUGUUUAGAAUAUUAAAGCAACUCGGUAGACCAACCUACAUAAAUUUUUAUAUCAUAUUUUCUAUUCAUAUAAACUACUACAUCAUCAGUAUUGAUCCCCACCGUUAGGUCGAGCGACAAGCGCUCGGUCGAGCACAAACCGAGCUUUACUCGAGCUCUAGCCGAACGAGCAAAUCAUUUGCUCGGCUUGUACUCGACUUAAAAAGUCGAACAAAUUAUUUGCUCGGCUUGUGCUCGACCCUAGUCGAGCGGGCACAAGCCAAGUUAUUGUCGAGCUUAUGUAUAUAAAAUAUAAAUAUAUUAAAUAAAUUAAAUAUAAAAAUAUAUAUUUAUUUAUUAAUAUAUAUUAUAUAUAAAAAUAAUAAAUUAAAUGGUUUUAUUUUUAUAUUUACGCUCCAAUUAAUAUUUUUUUGAGUAAUUAUACAUUUCAAAGUUGAUAAUCUAGUUUCAGAUUAUUUAUUCUAAAAUAUUUAAAUAAAAAAUAUAUAUAAAUUAGAUUAGGAAAAAUUAAAUAACAAACAACCGGUCGAGCACUCGGUUGAGCACAAGCCGAGCAAUUAUUUGCUCGGCUUGUGUUCGACUUAAAAAGCCGAGCUAUGAAAUUGCUCGGUCCAGCAUAAGCCGAGCAAAUUAUUUGCUCGGUUUGUGCUUGGCUGGGGUCGAGCGAGCACAAGCCGAGCAAAUGUGGGGAUCAGUAUUGAUAUAUGGUGCAAACCAACCUUUGUUAUUUUAAUAAUGUUGAUAUCUAUUAAAUAAAUCAACGUAUAGUAAUUCUCACAUAAAUAUUUUAAAAUAGUGAAAAAUAUACACUACCACUCUAACGAAGAUUUUUCGUGAUAGUUACUUCAUGAAGCACCCGUUCCGUGGCUAUAUAAGUCCUAUAGCAUUGGUUGUCAGAAGGAGAGACAGAAAACAGUUGAAGAGUUGAAGUCUCAGUUCUAAUAUUCCAUUCUUGUUUUUAUUCUUUUUCUGUUUGCACAACUUAAUCGAGUGGACUCAGGUCAAAGGCUCGAAUCCUGUUGUGUGCACGCAGUUGAGCGUUUACGCUUCUUUGAUGCCUGGGACGGUUGUUCGUUGAUCGGUGCACACCAAUUGUCUUGAACCGGUGGGACGGAUUAAGCUUAAGGAAAGUGAGAUUGCUAACACGCCUUGAAGACUUUUUAAAUCUUCUAUUUCAUAGCUUUAUCCAAUCUUGUUCCAACAUAUUCUUUAAGGCUUAGAAACCGAAAAAGUCGACUGUAUGCUCUACGAGAGAUGGCAAACAAACUUUUAUGAGACUAGAAGAUUUGUCGGCGAUGGACUAGAUGAGGCGAAGAAAAUUAAUUUUGUCCCUUCUGUCGACUACUCAAAGUUGCUCUAUGUCCUCAUCUACUGCCAAGACCAGAAGAAACGAUUGAUGAACCUGUUGCACAAACUCGGUACAAGACAACAAAUGAGAUGAAAUAUAUGCCGAUGGCAAUAUUCAUAAAUGUAUGUCGGAUGCGCGAUUUUUCGACGCUAUCAAAAUGUGAAAACGGCCCUAAAGAACUGUGGGAAGGCCUUGAAAAAAAUACAAAUCGAGAUGCCACAAGUAAGGAAAGUUUGCUUGUUAGCAAAUUUAAUAACUAGUAAGAUGGUUGAUGUAAGAUCUGCUUCUAGAUCAAUUAAAUGGAAUUCAACAUUAUCUCAACCAAUGAUUACUCCAACAUAAUGAUGAAUAUUGGAUGAUUCUAUAAUGUGCCUCUAUAAUCGAUAAACUUCACUUCCAUCAUGGACAAGACUUAAGAAAAGCUCUAACUAGAACAAAGGAAGACGUUACUCUUAAAAUUUUGGCUAAACCAUCUUCGCAUAGAAAGAAGAAUUAUCGUUCUGCAAGAUUAGCAAAGAGGGCAACCCAACCGAUGCUCAGAAGUGCAAGUGUAAAUGUGACGGAAGAUGAGCUAUAGUAAACCGUCAAAACCACAGAAGAAAAAUCAUCUCUCUUCUNNNNNNNNNNNNNNNNNNNNNNNNNGGUGUUUCGUGAAGUGACCUUUCGAUUGUGACUUUUCAUUUGAUCAUAACUACCAAAUAGUUAUAUGAAUCAAGUUCAAUGAAUAUAACCAUUGAUUCCAACGGGCAUAUGUACGAAGAGACACACUAUAAAGAUGUGUCUUUUCAUAUCAUAUUCUUUCACUAAAAGUCACAUCCUUUCACUUUAAGAGUCAUACCCUUUGAUUAGAGUUGCAUCCACUCACUAAGGGUUGCAUCCAUUCACUAAGAGUUGCAUCCAUUCAUUAAGGAUUGCAUCCUUUCACGAAGAAUCACAUCCAUUCACUAAAAACAAUAAACAAAAUAUAUUAUUUUAAAAUUUUCCUUACAAAAAAAACACAGAUAGAAAACAAAUUAUAUAUAAUUUAAGACAUUAAUUAAAUAUAAAAAUAUUUUUGAAAUAAUAGUAUUAAUGUUAGACAUAUGUAACAAAUAAUAAUAAUAAUAAUAAUAAUAAGUAUAACAUUAUAGUGUAGGUAAUUUGGGUCCCACAUUAUGUAUUUUAGUAAUAAAAAUAAUUUAUUUGGCUCUGAAUUUUCCAGCUAGACCAGUUGGGGUCGUCUCGAGAACUGAAAUGACACAUUUGUCCUUUACUCCAACCACUCUGAAUACAAAGUUUCAGAUCCCCCACGUGAAUAUCGUACGACAAUGUGUCCUCCCACCUUCUUUAUCCGACACGUGUACAUCAGCCGAUACACGCCGUCGCUCCCUAUUCCCUCUCCCCAAAAACCCUAGCAAAACCCUAGCUAAACCCUCCUCCCUCUUCCCCCCCUCCGCCGCCGCCACAAUGCAAACCCUAGCCCCCUUCUCCUCCCACACCUCCGGCGCCGUCGCUCUCCGCCGUGUCCCGCCCCUCCGCGCCGCCGCCGCCGCCGCCGCCGCCGCCGAUGCUCCUACGCCGCCCGCCACCACGCAAGCGAUUCCCCCGGCGCCGCCGCGGAAGAUCAACCUCUACAGCUCCCGCAUCACGGAGCCCAAGUCCCAGGGCGGGUCCCAGGCCAUCCUCUACGGCGUGGGGCUCUCCGAAGCCGACAUGGCGAAGCCCCAGGUGGGGAUCUCCUCCGUGUGGUACGAGGGCAACACGUGCAACAUGCACCUCCUCCGCCUCGCCGAGGCCGUGCGCGAGGGCGUGCGCGACGCGGGGAUGGUGGGGUUUCGAUUCAACACCAUCGGGGUGAGCGACGCGAUCUCCAUGGGCACGAGGGGCAUGUGCUAUAGCCUCCAAUCGAGGGACCUCAUAGCGGAUAGUAUCGAGACCGUAAUGGCCGCGCAGUGGUACGACGCAAACAUUUCCAUCCCCGGAUGUGAUAAAAAUGUGAGCUUUUUUUGUCUCCUUAUUAGCCAUUUCUUCUUUAUUUUGUGGCUUUUCUCAUUAGCUCUGUGCAAAAUGUUAGCUUAAUGAGCACCUUAGCUGUUCCGUUUGCGCAAUUUAAGGGGAAAAAAAAUGUUAAAUUACAUGAAACAACCAUUUUUAUCUAAAAGCUUAAGUUACAAAGAGAGCGGUAUUUUCAAUAAAUUUAUUUAUUCAACAUGAUACCAUGUUAAAAUGUAUUACAAAAAGAGGGAGAGUGUUGAAUAUAAAUAUUGAAAACACCGUUCUUUGAUAGCUUAAGCUUUAGAGAAAAAUGGUUGUUUCAUGUAAUUUAACAAAAAAUAUGUAAUUUUUGCUCUUCUUUUGCAUUCGAUGAUUCUUGGUCUUUAACUACUGUGUUUCUGACUUUCUGCUUAUAAUGUUGUUGGAAAAGUGCUAUCUUGGAUGGAGAGUUUCUUGCUUCUUGCGGCAUUAAGAGUUGCUGCAAUAUAGUGGAAGCAUCACUUUGUUCUCUUUAUCAUCCUAUCUCUUUAUUUUUGGCGUGCUUAGCUCAUUGCGUCUUACCUUGUAGAUGCCAGGUACAAUCAUGGCAAUGGGGCGACUUAAUAGACCAAGUAUCAUGGUUUAUGGUGGAACUAUCAAGGUGAUAACCAUUCUUAGAUACAUUUUUUUUCCUCUAAUUUUUCCUCGUUUUGUUCUAGUAGAUUCCAGAAGAUACACUUGCUCCCUAUGUACUGCUAUUUCAGUGUUUCAUGUCAGUUUUAGCUUCUUUUUGGUAUUUAAAUUUUCCAGCAUAAUUGGGCAAAAUUCUAACCAAGCGUGUCUUUUCUCCAUUUUUCCUCCUCUAAAUUGUUACGCUAUGUGAUAUCAUUUGCUAUCUCACAGAUCUUAUUUUACUAUGUUACUCUCUUGUGUAAGAGUCGACUUUCUUUGUUCCUUUUUUAUGUGUGUGUGUGUUCUCACCAGAAGACUUAGCGUGAUACCCUAUGUAAUUCUAUAUAAGAGUGUUCUUUUACUCUUUUACCGGUACAUUGGCAAAUUAUUUUUCCAAUUUUCUUUUACCAAUGUAGGUGACUAAUGUUAGAAUGCCUAAGAUUCAUGCUUAGAUCGUCCCUUUGAAUAUUUCUGAUUUUCACUUGAUUUAGGAUAAUGAACAAGAUGCAUGCUAUAUGCAGUUUUUUUCUAGUUCUUGUUGAAUGAGUGGAACUUAUAUCUAAAUAUAAUAAUUCCUUUGGAGAAUGUAAUACUAACUUAUGCAUAAUUUUUCUUUGUGCAGCCAGGUCACUUUCAGGGCAAUGCUUAUGAUAUCGUAUCUGCUUUUCAGGUAUACAUAGAGCUCGUUGUCUCGAUUUUGUUACAGAGAGCUAAAAUUCUUUUGCCAUUAGGAGUUACCAAGAUAUAUUAUUAUUUGAUCUUUGUGAGUUUCUACUUUGUUUUCUGAAUUCAGAUAUGUUUUUUGUAUUCAUUUUCGCAUCCAAGUUAUCAAGUUCCAUCCAUGUAAACUUGUGCAUUUCCCACGUUUUCACUCCAGUCUGGUUUGAAGAAUGUUUCUUUGUGUACCACUAUUGUACUGUUCCAGAAGUGAUUCUUGCCAACUAAAAAUUUAGGACCUGAAAUCCCUUUGGAAUAAAAAAAUUUCCUCUCAGUCGUGGGAAAAGAAAAAGUCUAAAUAACAAUCUGUUUUUCAUAUAUUAAUGCUAACGAACUGUUCUGUCAACUUGACGUAAUAGGCUAUAGACUAAAGAUCCUUUCAAUACUGCUCUGUUGGUUCUCUAUUUAGUGUUACGGCGAGUAUGUCAGUGGCGCAAUCAAUGAUGAUGAAAGAAUGAAUGUGGUGCGCAAUUCAUGCCCUGGAGCAGGAGCUUGUGGUGGCAUGUACACAGCAAACACCAUGGCAUCUGCUAUUGAGACUAUGGGCAUGACACUUCCUUACAGGUAUGUAUAUGCCAUUUCGUUCUCAGGAUAUUAUUUUUUCCAUAUACACCUCUUUAAGAUGCAGCAUCUUGCAAAAUUGCCCUUUAAGUUGUCGAGUCAUCCAAUUCAUUUGGGGAGUUUGGCUUUAACUGAGAAAAGUUUCCAAAGAGGAACAUUUUCUUUAAAUGCAAGUGUAUAUAUGUAGGAACUUAGAAAUGAAAGAUGUAUUCAUGUACCCCUAUCUUAAGUUGUCUUUCUAUCAAGUAAAAAAAAAAUCAUGAACAGGGAGACUUUUGUAAGACAAAAGCAAUAAAUCAAGAUUUAAAGAAGGUAUAUAGAAAAUUAGAAAUCAAGGUUUUGCUGCGGUAUAUACAUAAACAGAUGAUUUUGUAUGCUGGUUCAUUUCUCUUCCUCCUGUUUUCCCCAUUCUCCCUUUUUGUUCAUGUCUUUUCCUGAAAUUUUAUGUAUGUCAAAGCUCUUCUAUACCAGCUGAAGAUCCACUAAAGUUAGAGGAGUGCCGUAUGGCCGGGAAGUGCAUCUUGGAACUGUUAAAAAUGGAUCUGAAGCCUCAAGACAUUAUUACGGAGAAAUCGCUACGCAAUGCAAUGGUCGUUGUAAUGGCCCUAGGUGGGUCUACUAAUGCUGUUCUGCAUUUGAUUGCUAUAGCUAGGUGGGUAAGCUGCUUAUCAUCUAUGGCAAGCGUGUUUGUUUGGCCUUCUUUUAAUAGCUCACUUUCUUGUAGGUCUGUCGGCCUCCAGCUGACCCUUGAUGAUUUUCAGAAGGUUAGCGAUAAGGUUCCUUUCCUUGCGGAUCUGAAGCCUAGUGGGAAAUAUGUUAUGGAAGAUUUACACAAGGUAUGCUUUUUACACUCUUUUUAACUUUUUUGGGGGGCUUUUACAUACAUAUCCCUGCAAAAUCAACUAUUUACAGAUAUGCCCGCCCUCAAGAAUCUCAAUUUCAUAUGUAAUCGUUGGAAUUGCAGUUUCCUACGAAAUUGCUCAUUAAGUUGGGGAGUUAUCCAAUUCAUGGGGAAAGUUGGCUUCUAUCAGGGAAGGUUUUUUUGUAGAGUUUGAGUACUAGGGCAUUUGUGUGGCACAUUAAGCUUUUGGAGGGCAUAAAGUAAAGUUUUAGAUAAUACGUACAUACAUACACAGACACGCGCACAUUUUACUGUAUUUGAGGAACAUUCUAAUUAUCCCCUCGAUGUUAAUACGCAUAGGUUGGGGGAACUCCUGCAGUUAUUCGAUACCUUCUUGAAGAAGGCUUUCUGGAUGGCGAUUGUAUGACUGGUAUGUGCUGUAAUAUUAUUAUUUUUUACAAAUAUUUGACUAUCCUUCUUUUGUUUCUGGAAUAACUCACAUUCUCUUAUUCCAGUCACCGGGAAAACUCUUGAAGAAAAUGCGAAACUCUUCCCUCCUUUAGCUGAGGGACAGGUAUAACCCAAAGCUAAUAUAUUGCAUACAGUUUCUGACCUUCCCUUUCUGACUGUUAUUCUGAGCUUUUAAUCAUAUCCUUAUGCAGCAAAUAAUACGACCGUUGAAUAAUCCUAUCAAAUCAACGGGACAUAUACAGAUACUCUAUGGGAAUCUUGCUCCUGAGGGUUCUGUGGCGAAAAUCACUGGCAAAGAGGGUUUAUUUUUCUCUGGUACCAACUUUUUUUUUUUUUAAUUUUUACUUGCUAGUUAUUAUGUUUGUUACGAUUUUUGAAAAUUUUGACGUCAUUGUAACAAACAUGAAGAGAUCGUGCAACAGGUCCAGCACUUGUUUUCGAGGGUGAGGAAUCAAUGAUUGAAGCACUUUCAGAAGAUCCUGAGAGAUUUAGGGUAAAAUUUCAUGCAAUUGUUCUGUUUCUUUUUCUUAUAAGAACAUUUCAAUCUUUAAGACUUUAAGGUGUCUUCAAUAAAGGAGCCUAAGUAUUCUUGCUGUCUCUGAUUAUGGAUAAUAAACAUUUCAUCUUUUCUUCUGUCUCGUCAAUUAUUUUCAAGUAGUCUCAAUGCCAUGUGUUACCUUUACUUCCUUUUAGUCAUGAUGUGUUUAUCAACAAGCAUUUCUAAUUACCUCCAACUAAAUGGUCCCUAAGAGUUCUUAAACUAAUACCAUGUUUAUGGUACUCUUGAAGGAUCAAUGCGUAAUUUAUGAUGAGAUUCUACUAUUUUCAUGCGGCAUAUAAUAUUUCAGGGGAAGGUGGUUGUUAUUAGAGGAGAGGGACCAAAGGGUGGCCCUGGAAUGCCUGAGAUGCUGACACCUACGAGUGCAAUAAUGGGUGCUGGACUCGGGAAGGUAUCUUUGUGCUCAAUCCUAAUAAAUUUCUUGUCGACUCUAUUAUUUUGAAUUUAAGGCUGAAUUGUAGGGGAGCAAAGCAACUAAGUACUUCUGCAUCUUUUUAUGCUGAAUAGUUUAUGCCUCACAUUUAAACUUUCCAUCUUGCACCUGUAUGUGAGAAACAUGCCUUGUUUUCUCAGAACCAUGAGCCACCUUUAACUUUGUUUCUGGUCAUAUGUCGUGAAUUUCUGGUGAUAUGCUGUAGCCAAUUUCAUUUUUCAUUGGAUAAUUACAGAUACUACAUUAUCCAUGUGAUACAUCUGUUGGCGCAGAGUUUUUGAGGCUUUUGUCUUUUUAAAAUGUUUAAAAUUAAUGAGUUCCUUGACACAAUUUUCUCUCUUAUAUCUUGUUUCUGUUAGUAGCCUUAUUAUCAUGCAGUACUUUCCUCGAUUGUUUUCUCUUGCUAACUAGUGUGAAACACCAUUUUAGGAGUGCGCCCUGCUCACUGAUGGUAGGUUCUCCGGAGGAUCGCAUGGAUAUGUUGUAGGCCAUAUAUGCCCCGAAGCGCAGGUGUGCCCCUCUUUACAAUUUUUAUUUUUUGCAUCUUAUCAUAAUCUCUACUUUUCAUCAUCUCGAGUUAGGAAAAUUACAGAGAAUAGAAAACAUUCUCAAUAAGGACUUCUGUAGAAGUAAAACAACUUGAGGGAUUUCCGUUAAAGUUCGUCAAGUGAAAAUUGAUACUCAUAAUAAGAUCACAUUUUCAGGAAGGUGGCCCGAUUGGUCUUAUUGAAGAUGGCGACAUAAUCACCGUCGACAUCCUAAAGAAAAGAAUGGAUGUCGAUCUGACAGAACAGCAGUUGGAAGAGAGGAGGAAGAAAUGGACUCCGCCGCCUUACAAGGCCACAAAAGGAGUCCUCUAUAAGGUAUUUUGUAGCUUGAACUAAGCAUCUCACAUUAUGAAUUUCUCUCAUUUCUAAAAGAUCUUGCCCUUUUUUUUUACAGUACAUCAAGAAUGUGCAGUCUGCGUCAAGAGGAUGUGUAACAGACGAAUAAGGAGAGAUAUCACAUCAGUUUAUGAUGAUAAUAAGGUCGCUCUUUUCGGCAUUUCUAUUUAUCCUCGACCGAAGAGGAGAAUUCCUAGGAGCAAAAAAAUUUUCUUCCUGAAGAGUGUCUUAAGACUGUAGAGCUCAUUGAACUGCUAGGGAUUUUGCAGGAUUGUUGCUUUGUAAAAGAUUCAGGAACUGCACUGUUAACUUAUUUAUGGAUUUAUUUAGUGUGAAAAUUUUGAACAGCAUAAAUGUUUGAUUCAAUUUAAUUUGAUAUCAGAAUUUGGGCUCAAAUUCUUAUGAAAUUAAUAACCACGCAACAACGGACUAUAGGUAGAUGUGAGACCUGGAUAGUCCUAUGUAUAAGGUAUAAGAGCUAAAGUUUUUAUUUCGGUGGCCAAGUCCAAGAGUUUAAAAGAGUUAAGCGUGAUAGAGCUAAAGUUGUUUUAGGAUGGGUGACUCUCUGCAAAGUGGGGUAUUACAGUUGGUAUUAAAGUCAAUUAUCAGCCGGAAGUGUGAGAUGAGUUUCGACUGAGUCGGGGUUAUACAGUAGGAAAAGUGAGGUUCUCAUACUGAUGAUUAUUGUGGGUAGAGUGUGGCUCUCCCACAAUAAUGUUGAUUAAGGUUAACGAAACAAAUUUCACAUCGCCUGAUACUUGUGAGUCUGAAUCUGACGAGAACGUCAAGGUUUGAAGAGGAGAUUGUGAGAUUCCAAAUAAUCUUAUAUAAAAUACAAUAAGACUAAAACUUUUAAUUCGACUAUAGUAAUUUAGGCGGUGGUUAUGCCUAAAAGGUUAAGAGAGUUAAAUAUGCAAUAACUAAAAUAGUUCUAGAAUGGAUGAUCUUCUAGAAAGUGGGGCGUCACAAGUAGAUAUGCUUUUUUGAGCAAAUAUUAGCUUUAUUUCGGCCGGCACUGAUUCUUAUUGAUUUAUUUCUGCCAGAUGUUGUAUUGCUGUUUUUGGAAUGGAUAGUUCUGAAAACUGAAACUGUGGAUGCCUGUUGAAAUAUUUUUGCUUAAAAGAAAAAAAAUCACUUUUGGGAGAAGCUACAGAAGGCCAAAUGCAGUUAAAGUAGAUGUUGGCUGAUUCUCUGGUGAGAUGUAUUAUUCCCUUUGGCAUCUAUUCAUACGUUUUGUGCGUUUGCGCAAAUAGAAGAUUUAUACUGAAUAAGAUGUUUAUGCAUUUAGUCAUGUAUGCAAAAUGAUUGGUUUUUUCAGUAAUAUUAAGCGAACGAAUGCCCUGAGAUAAUGCCUAUCUACAUGAAAUAAUUUUUUUUUUAAAAAAAAAAUAGAAGUUGAGGGCUGUGAAUUAAAAUGUAAUUAAUUGAGUGGGCUUUCUCGAAACGUCUCGUAAGCUUAGGGGUCUCGAUGCAAAUGUACCCGUAGUUUUAUGUGCUAAAAAGGAAUGGAGCGUAGCGUGGGCCCACGGAGGGGGACCACAAAAUAAUAGGAGCCAAAAUUUGAAAGCUCAGCAUAUGUUAUACCCUCGGAACAAUGUAUUAGUGAGAGAUCACGAUAAAGUAUACUGUUUCCAAAGCCCACGUGGCAUUCUCUCAUUGGUGUUUUAAACUGCUCCGCGGUACACUGGAACACCUUAAACUUUAAACCUCUCGGCCCCGCUAACGGCUAUAUUCCCCCUCCCCCUCUCUCCCUCUCACCAAAAACCCCUCUCUCUCUCUCUCUCUCUCUCUCUCUCUCUCUCUCUCUCUCUCUCCUCGUUCCCGAUUCUUCGAUUAGGGCAUGGAUUCUUCCUCAAUUUCCAGUUCGAGGCCUCGGUUUCAAUCGCGUCGCGGAGUUCGUGUGGUGGGAAAGAUCCGGCCUUUGCACGAUUCGGAGGUCGGAGAUCUCUCCCGUGGCGAUCCUUCUUGCUCCCCCAAUCGGCCUCAGGUCUCCGUCGCGAGAUGUGAGGGGGAACACGCCGUGAUCUCCUUUAAAGAUCAGCCCAGCGGGUUCGUUGUUCUUCGACAUUUUAUCAUAUGUGUGUUCGUUUCGAUUCAAUUAGGUUGAAGUUCUAAACUUGGAAACAAUUAGGGUUUUGAUCGUUUGGUUGGGGUUUUAAUUAAUUGGGAAUAGCCAUUGGUGUUAGGAUGAAAGGGUCGAAGAGGCGUGCGCUGCUCUCUUUUGUUCAAGUUGCGAAUUAGGGUUUUGAUCAUUUUAUUAAAGACUUCAAAUUAGGGCUUUUGUGUGUUGGUAAGUGUGCCAUUGGAGUUACCACGAAAAGGUCCGAGCAAGCAUGUCCCGAUUUUGUUUUUUCAAGUUGCAUGUAGGUUAGGGUUUUGAUCGUUUUAUAAAUUAUUUUUAGAUUAGGGCUUUCCUCUUUUCUUGAUUGUGUUUUUCAAAUCGGUUUCAGUCGGAAAGAUUCUUACAAGCUAGAUUGGUGCUAUGAGCCAGAAGAGGGUGUCGGCGAGAUUUUCUCAAGAGAGGUUAAGCCUCUGAUACAGGGGUUGUUUCAAGGAUCAAAUUCUUGUGUUAUUGCUUAUGGUGCUCGCGGAAGUGGGAAGACGCAAAUCCUUCAGGUGAAUUAUUGUCGUUGAUCAUCUUGGUACUCAAUUUUUGCAAGUUGAAUUCUUGUUAUAUCCUAUGUAAUAUUCUAAUGCAAUAGUGGGUGUACACAAAUUAAGAAGAUUGUAUUUCACAAAUUGGUAUUCAUGUUGGAUGUAAUCAAGAGCGUGCAUAUGAAAUUACAAAUUUGAAUUUGGAUUUCUUAUGCAUCAUUCAAUAGCCCUUGUUUGAAAAAUAUAGAGCAUUAAUUUUGGGACAGCUUGAUGACUAUAGUGUAAAAUACAAAAAAUCCAAGGAUGUUGUAUACAUGCCUUUCUGAUGUUUACUUGUUAAUUUUGGAGCCCAUAUGCUUGUAUUUGUGUGCACGCAUGCACACAUACGUGUGUUUGAUGCUUUCCGUUUGAAAUUUCUAUUAGGGCAUUUUUCUAGAUUCGUAUGUGAGACAAGAUCUGAUUUUCCGAAUUGUUUUUAAUAUUUAGAAACCAACUGACUGUUCUGAAUGGCCCUUUUCUGUACACUAAGUGGACAUAUGUUUCAAAUACAAUUAGUUUAUUGAACACAUAAUGUUAUAUGUGAAAACCAUAAACAAGAAAAUUUUAAGUGAUUUGCAUCAGUCUAAAUCAUUCAUAUAAGAAGCUACAUGUAUCAACCAAUAGCGACCUCAUUAAAUUUGAAGGCAACACUGCUCCAAUGCAUUUGAUUCUCGGAUUCUUGAUGUUCCAGAGAGUCUAAAUCAUAUUAACAGGAUGGAUCCUGCACAAAUUUGUCACAACAUUCAUUUGAAUUGAAAUUAUUUGAGUUCAAAGACUCUUCCCAGAGCUUCUAACGUGAUCCGUAGAGGCCAAAUAUAUAAUUCAGUGUAUGAUAUUGCAUUUAAUUUCCAAAACAUAGGGCUCUGAAGAGAAUCCUGGCUUAGCUCCAAUUACGUUAUAUGAGAUCCUAGCGAUGGCCAAGGAAAUUGAAGGGUUGGUAACUAUAUCAUGCUACGAAGUGUUUCAAGAUCAUAUCUAUGAUAUAUUGGAACCCAAAGAGCAAGAAGUGCUUGUUCUUGAAGAUGCCGGAAGGAGAAUUCAGCUUAAGGGACUUUCUCAAGUGAGAUGGAAAAUCCAUUUUAUAUUGUUGUUAUUCUAGAGGCGUAGUUGAUUACUGAAUAACUGUUUCUGAGAGAUUUAUUGAAAUAUGACUUUUUUAGGUUCCUGUGAAAUCCAUGUCUGAGUUCAAUAGUUUGUACUUUCAUGGAUGUAACCAAUGGAAGCAAUCACAAAAGAUUGGGAGUGAAGAUGCAAUUAGGUCCCAUCGAGGGUUAAUUAUAUACGUCUCUCGUGUUGUCAAAGAAUCGAACCAUUCCCUCGUCGGAAAGAUAAACUUGGUUGAUUUGGCAGGUAAUUCUAUUCUAUCAAGAAUUUUGAUAUUUCUUUGCUAUUUGAGGUAUUAAUUUAGAAAACAAUGUUAGAUUCCUGCUGCUUUUUUAUCAGAUUAUGAUGACACCAAAUCAAGAGACAAUGGUUCACUCAAUCUAUCUGUAGGGGCUAAAGUCAACAAGUCACUCUACGCCCUAAUGAAUGUAGUCUUCGCACUUAAUAGCAGUGAGACUUAUGUUGCCUACCGACAAAGCAAACUGACCCGUUUGUUGCAAGAUUUCAUGUGCAAAUCAAGUGGGGCGGUACUGGUAACUUGCUUGGUAAGGCUUUCUUUUAGAUAUAUACAUACCCAUAUUUUUGUUGUAUUAUAUAGUUUCCUUUCUUCCUCUAUUAACCAAUUCGUUCAUGAUUUAGAACCCAACAGCCUGCCAAGAUACUAUUCAUGCACUUAGUUUGGCUUCUCGGUCAUGCCAAGCAGCCAAUGUUAAUUGCACUAGCUCAGCCAAGAAUAGCAAUACUAUUCCAAGGUUUAUUCCACCGUCUUCUCCUUUUAAAGGUGCAAUCCGUACUUUAGAUGGUUCAGUGCUAAAGGAUGAACCAUCUAAAUCUGCUAAGAAUGAAAAAAGAGGAAAUGGAACUCCAUUUGUGCCCAAGACAUUGUUGUAUGUUCCUUCCUGAUGCUGCUUUUUGCUUGGACAUAAUGGACAAAUAUAGUUUGCUUUUUCAACUUACACCUUAACCCUUAUAUAUGCAGGCAUAAACAAUCUAGUUCUACCAAAAGACCUGGAUUUUCCUUUAAGAAUUUACCUGAGGAGAAAUCAAAUGAUACCAUCUCUAUCUUAAGUGGGAGGUCCUGUUGUAAAUUUCUUCUUCUACUUCGCAAACUUUUCGGAUUCAACUUUUGAAGUAACAGUGGGCCUUUUUCUAUUGUUGCAGGAAGUUAUUCAGUGCCAAUGUGAACUCCAUAGAGGUAAAAUAUAAUUUUUCGAAGAUUUCAGAUAUUAGUUCUCAUCCAUUGAUAUUUCCAUUUUAAACUAGGAACUUGCUAUUCACAAGACUAAUAGCUUUAUUUGAGUUAGCACAACAUCUUGGUUAAUUUUUGAUGUUGGACUCAAUUAUCAGUAGUCUUAUAUGAUUCAUGCCAUAUUGAGGUCUCUAUGAGGACAAAAAUUUUGAAAUGUUUAAUGGUGAUUUAGCUAGCUGGCGUGGAUUAUCUUUAUGGUCUCGUUCUUAGAAAGGAUGCUUUAUAACUUUCAUGCAGGAUAGUACUUCAUCUAGCGCUGCUACAGCUGUAGAUACAACUACAAAUGAGGUUGGUUUAGAGUCAAAGUUUUCUGUAACAAAAAUUUUGCCCCAUAAAGUUGAGUUAAUCAAGUCUUUACAUCUUUAUAGGACAUUAACUUACGGCAGUGCAAACAAAUCGAGACAUCUAUAACGGAUGAGGUAGGUACUUUUUUUUUUUUUCCUUCUGGGUAACACAUUAUGCUCAUCCUAAAAUUUUAUAAUCUCUUAAUCUGUUCUAAAAGAAUAUGCAGGAAACUCUGGCAAGCAUUGCUGAUGAUGUGGUGUCUCCUGCAUUGGCAGAAGUGGUUAGUCUCUUUCAUUUAUUUAACUAUUAAAUGGCUUAUGGCUAUACUACUUUUUUGUGCAAUAUUAAGAAGCAUUGUACUAUUUUAUUUUUGACUUUCGCUUCUUUUUUGUAUAGAAUGUUUGUGUUUCAGAUGAAUAUACAGAUCUUCAGGAUACACAAACUGAUGCAAAGCCAGCUAUUAGUGAACAUGGUGCGUGAUGGGAAUCCAUCUAUUUCCUCCUAAACAAGUACAUCUGAAACUGGAAAAUAAACUCCCAUAAGGGCCUAUUUGGUCCAUUUCGUAAUGAGGCAUUGCACUGCAAUGUGGCGAGAAAAAGCCCCCGUUGUGGAACUAUUGAGCAAUGUAGCUUCUUGCAGUUGUUGGAUGCACCAUACUGCAAACAGUUACUAUCGCACGACCUUCCACUGCUCUGGUGGAACUCACCACACUGGACAAAGCUAGACCAAAUGGCCCCUAAUUCAAUUCUGUUUAUACCAUGCAGAUAAUUCUGUUGAGGUGAAGACUCCAAUGCGUGCCCAUCAGACUUCUCCGAAACUAAGUGAAAAGCUGAGAGAGAUAUCUAACUCAUUGAAGCUGCUAAGUACCCAGCCUAUUAACAUUGGAACACCAAAAGCCGAUGUUUCUUGUAUUAGAAAAGAAAUUAUGGAUUCCAUUGACCCAAAAACUCCCGGAGAACCUUUAAAUUGGAGACUAGAUAACCGCCCAACAUUUGAUCCUGCCGAUACACCACAGGACAUACUCAGAACCCGUAGUACAGGGCUGAAGGUUUUCUCUAACCUUUUGUUUCUUUGAUGUCACCGUGUGAUUUCACAAUUCAGGUUACCUUAUCCAUGGAAUUUUGUUAUUAUGCAGAAAUCGUUGGUUCAAGAAUGUUUAGCUUUUCUCAAUUCUGCUAACAAGUAAGUAGAAAUUUGUUGAAGCUAAAAAUUUCCUUCUGUAACAUGACUGUAUGCUGACUAAACAAUGCUGUAUUUUACCAUUCGCUUCUAUUGCACUGAGUUUUUAAUAGUUGUCAGCAUAUCUAGGAAACUUGAGUGAAUAUUGAUUUACUUUUUGAUUGGUUCAAAGCGUUCAUUGUUAUAUUUAUCAUUAGACCUCUUGAGUUUUGAGAUAUAUUGCAUAUUUAUCGUUUUUGAAAUAUAUAAUGAAAGAACUGAAGGUGUUAUGUUAAGAAACUAAUUGUAUCAUUGCAUGCGAACUUAGUUUACUAGAGUUACCUGAAAGUAAUUUAGAGAGUUCUUUCUUAGCAUUCUCUUAAAAGGAUAUUGAUUGGCUUGCUGUCAAAAGAUUUAUAAAGAUAUAGAAAAGAGAGAGGACAGAAUACAAAUUCUUAAGAAUAUGAUAUAUCAUCUCAUUGAUGGACACACUAUCUUGAUAAAUCAUAUAAGGCUUUGCAUUUGAAUUGAAAUCAAAUUCUAUUUUAAUUUCAAAUGAUACAAAAGAUUACCAUUUAACUUGUAUAUCCAAGCGCGCCUUAUUUCACAAUACAAAAACGACUUUUUUAACUAGUCUUUCAGUCUAUCCAUUUGGGACAACUUGAUUCCUAGAAACCAUGAGUAACUUGCUAGUUUAGAGGAUACUCCUUUAAUCUGCAUUUGAUUAUUGUUGGUUUGGAUCACUAGAUUAAGUACUUCUAUAUUUCUAUCUCAUAAUUCUUUCUUUGAUUGCAGGGAGGAACUUAAGGGGCUAAAGGUUAGUUCACAAAGAAAAAGAAAAAUACAAACUUUAUUUGUUGAUUUUUUUUGUUUUAAUUUGACAUUUUCUGUUACUUUUUCAUGUGCAGGGAAUUGGAGAAAAGAGAGCUACAUACAUACUUAACCUCCGUGAGAAAAGCCCAGAACCCUUCAAAAAUGUAAGCAUUCUUAAUCCAAUACCACGAAAGUUACUAGGAAAUAUCUCAAUGCCGCUAAUUUUUUCUCCUCCUUUUACCUAUAAAGUCACUAAAAUAUGGUAUUUAUUUAUUUAUUUCCAGUUAGAUGAUGUUAAAGAUCUAGGUUUGUCUUCAAAGCAGGUAAACUAUCCGUUCCUUUUUGCUAUCAAUCAAUAAUAGAUCUCUCUUCCACAGAAUAGAUUAUUUUCUUAACAUAAUACUAUGCACCUUUUUCUUUCAAACAGAUCAAUAAAAUGAUGUCGAAAAUUUUAGAGGAAUUCUAGUGUUACAAUUCUACUGUACCGGAACCUUCAAACUAGGAAGGAGAAUGAGUCAUGUAAAUUUGCCAAUAGAGUAAAAGUAUUGUUUACCGUAUCGGAACUGACGAACGACGUGUUGAAUAGUGUGUAUCGAGUGAUGUUGUUCUUUGUGUUGUUAUUUGUGCAAUGUAACUUAUCUGUGAUCAUUUACUUCAGUAAUGUAUGUUUGCUAAAUAUGAUUGUUCUUACAUAAUGUUUGAAUAUGGUUGUUUUGGCUUCUUGUAUAACAAUUAUGUAGAAUAUUCCAUGGUUCAAAUUAUAUGAAAUCUAGUGAUGGACUUUUUUUGAGUUGCUCCCUUAACGCGGUUUAGGGUGUAAAAUGCACAUGGUUAUGAGCCUUUAACAUGCCAAGCUUGCAAGUUGCAACAGCAAAACACCUUGUUGUUUAGUAGUACUAUUCUCAGACAUUAUUAUUAUUCUUCAUUAAAUAUGUCUUUGAUUUUACAUAGUUCUGCACUCAUAAGCUGCAUAGGGACACUCAGCUGGAAUUUAUAAGAGAAUGUGUUGUAUUAAACUUGUCCUCUAACUAAAGUAUCACUACCUUUUAUUUAUAGUUUAUACAUAUUUUGGAGGAGAACACAUUGUGACUAUUUCAAUGUUUCAUGAAAGAUGUUGUCAUGUAAUUAUUAUUAUUUUUUUCAGUAUGUAGUUGACCCACAUGAUAAUUGGUUGGUCAAGGUUUUCCUAAUGUUUCAAACAUUUUUUAAAAAAAUCUUAUUGAUAAAAUAAUAUGUGUGGUUUGCUAAUGUGAGACAUGUUCAAAAAGAUUCAAAAAGCAAAAUAAAAAUAGGUAGCACAAUGUAAACGUUUUUUUUUUUGAAAUUUAAAUCAAAUGAUACUAGUAAUAAUAAUUGGAGUCCGGCUGGGAUAUUAUCGAUAGCACCAAGCAUUUGGUGCUACCGAAUUUUUCAUCAUUAGAUUUAAUCCUUUGACUCUUUUCAUCCGUUAGAUUAUACUAUUCAACCAACAACUUACUCAACCUUAGGGGUCACAUCAUUCGAAUCAUAUAUUCCUUCAUCCAAGGAUCGGAAAUCUAAUAGCACCGAUAGUUUGGUGUUAUUGAUAGUAUUUCAGCCUAGUUCUAAUAAUUAUAAAUCUCAUUGAUAGGAAACAUGGUCCAUGACCGACGUGGUGCACUAUGUCCACUCAAUCAUAUCUCGUGGUUUAAACAAUUUAAGAAAAAACUAAAAACAAAAACAAAUGCAAAAACCCACUCUCUCUCUCUCUCUCUCCAAACCUAUUCCUUGCAUAGUUAAAAAAAAAAAAAAUGGAGAGAGAUAGAGCAAGCGUGUGGUCUAGAUUAUAUUUAACAGUACCGAUUGUCAAUGCAGAGAUUAACGAAGACGAAUCGGUAGCAACGAAGUCCGAAUCAGUAGCAACAAAGUCCAUUUGCUAUCGAUAGUGUAUAUAUGCUCUUCUUUGUCAAAUUAUUUAUAAGUGUCUGCUUGACUUUACUUUUAUUUUUAUUUUACGUUGUUAUUAUAUUUUUAGUAGAGAAGUUAGAAAAAUAAAAAAAAAACUAAAAUAAGAUUCUGAGUUUCAAAAAUAGAAGCUGAUUUUGGGGCGGUGAUGAGCCACACCACAACCCAGAAAUCAGAGUCAAGUGGGAAUACAUUGCCUUUCUGUUGGUAUUCGGUUAAAUUGAAUCGGAUGCGCUCAUAAUCUGGCUCGAUCCAACGGUUAUUAUAUUGUCUAAUUGGAUUAGGAUUAAUUUCGUUUUUAAAUUGAAAAGCUAAUUAGAGAUAAAUUCUAAUCAUAUUAAGAUAACAAUUAAUAACCGAUUUGGUCUUAUCUCUUACGCACCUAUUAGGAUUUUGAAAUCCCUUAUAAAUAUGCGGACGAUCUCACAUAAAAGAAAGAGAACAAGAAAACUAAGAGAAAAACGUAGAUACCACAUCCUCCAUUAACCUAUUAUUCUAGAGGGUCUUGAAUGGUGGAUUUGUGAUCGUGCUCAUUUGUAGUUCGAUCUAAGACGAGUUGGAACGAUAGAAGAUUUUCAAGGAUGAUCCGUGGACACGUGAAUCAACCUCUACGAUCUAGGCUUGUCGCGUUCUAGCGCGAAUCGCUUCCGCAAAAAGGUACGAACAAAUACUUCCGCUGUGUUCUACACUUUUCUAAAAGCACAGGUAAAGGUAGCCCAAACGGGUACUAAGAUACAAGAGUAUAAAGUUUUUGCUGUUGGAAAAAGUUAAAAUCAGAGCGUGAGUCUCAAAAAUAGAAGCUUCAUUUCACUUUAGAGAGAAGCUUUUGCGGCACUACUGUACAUGAAUAUGAAAGACACUUAAAAUUAAUAGGUAAAGUAGGAGAUGUGGAUUUAACUCGUUGUAAAAUGGGAUUGAACCCACGACCUCGCAAAAUGAAGGAGUUUAAAAUUGAUUCUUAUGCUAUGUUACCCAAAAGAUGGAUUUAGUAGAAAAUAGGCUCAGAAAUAUAUAUUAGUGACUCACUAUAUUGUUCUCCAGUUUGAAGUUCUAUUAUUUGUAGCAGAAUCAGAAGCAUUCGUUUUUCUUUUGCGGCAGAAUCACAGAUAUUAAUAUCAGAGCUUCUGCUUUUGAAGCCUAGGAUCUCAUUUCUACUAUUCACUACAAUAAAAGUUUGAGAUAACUUAUUUCGCUGAAUGCUUUACUAGAGAUUGCUGUCGCUGAAAGCAGAAGCUGACAUCCAGAUGACAUAUUUCUUAACAUAAAUUUCAUGGCGAAAUUAUGUAACUUAGUCACUAACAGAAAAAUAAUAGUAAUCCUCUUUAGUUGCUCUCUAACUUAAUUUCUAUUAGAUUCUCUUCUUAUGUCACAAUUAAUAAACUUGUACAUCUGUUGUGUUGAAUUUUUUAAUUUAAGAUAAUACUUAGUUGAUGCAGUAGAAUAUUACAUCAUAAAACAUUCAUGAAUUUUUGGACCCAAAUGGACAUGGUUUUAUUACAAGUAAAGUAUGGGCUUGGUGAGCCCAUUGGUCUCUAACUUGGCCACUAUUUAUAAAUAAUUUUUUUAAAAAAAUUACCAACCAUCAUGUAAAAGGAUCAAGCAUUUUUUUUUUUAAAAAAAUAAACAAAAAAUUGUGUCAUCCAUUUGUAUUACUAAUUUACUACACAAAUCUAUGAUCUCUUAUAAGUUAUAUGGUACCAGAGCUAAUUCUGAGCUCUGUUAGGUCGAUAAAGUUUCGAACAUGUUUAGCUCGUCGCAUCUCAACUGGGGGUAAAUCCCCGUCUCUUAAGAAAGCUAAGCAUUUCGCACAAAAAUUUGUGGCUGGACUGUACGAAAAUUUCAAACUAGGCUAAAUAAACAAAAGAUAUAAUUGAAAAGUCUAACCUAAUCUAGUUUUCUUCUUCAGGUCUCAAAAUUUAAGGCGUGAACAGAUCAGCCGAAAAGGAAUGAAUAGUCAAACUUGAUAGGCUUUAAUAGUGAGGUUUGUUUAUUAUCUCUUCUAUCAAUGUCACAUGUACCAUUUCUUUCUUUUUUUUUGUUUUAGCUAAAUUACAAAAAAUUCACUGUCAAUAUCUGCUUUUUUACUUCUCCCAUGCCCAUUUAAAAACCUAUAAUUUGCCCCCUUAUAAAAUAAAAAAUGUUUAUUUUACCCCCUGCCGUUAGUGCCUCGUUAGGGUUCCGUUUAUAAAAUUUGUUAUAUAUUUUUUAUACCAAAAAUACUCUCAGCCUCUUCUCCUGCCGCCUCGCCCUCCUUCGAUGCCUCGCCUUUUCCCUCGUUGUCCUUGCCCAUCUCUUGAUCCACGCCCACCUCGAUUUUCUCUCUAUUGUUGUCGAAAUGGAGCGGUGACAAGAGUGCAAGAGGAGAAGGAGAGCAGGUGGAGAAGAAAAUAGAAAGAACCGUGGCCGAUAGAGGCGCGUACCGCGGCCGAUCGAGGCGGUGGAUGAGCAAAAUGAGGAAGGGGAUGAAAAUGGUGAUGGACAAAUUGGUCAUUGUGUCAUCACAGUUCACACCGUAACCCCCUCUGAACAUUUUUUAUAUUACAAGGGGGUAAACUAUAGGUUUUUAAAUGACAGCAAGGAAAGUAAAAAAGCAGAUAUUGACAGGAGGGUUUUCUGUAAUUUAGCCCCUUUUUUUAUAAAAAAAAAUCAUUUAUUUGGUGAGAGAGAAAGUGUAG